CAAGUCCCAGGUCUUGGCUGACUUCGUGGCUGAAUGGGUCGACACCCAGCUCCCAACAGCUCCGAUCCAGCCGGAGCUCUGGACCAUGUUCUUCGACGGGUCGCUAAUGAAGACAGGAGCCGACGCAGGCCUACUCUUCAUCUCGCCCCUCGGGAAGCACCUACGCUAUGUGCUACGCCUCCAUUUCCCGGCGUCCAACAAUGUGGCCGAGUAUGAGGCUCUGGUCAACGGGUUGCAGAUCGCCAUCGAGCUAGGGGUCCGACGCCUCGACGCUCGCGGUGACUCGCAGCUCGUCAUCGACCAAGUCAUGAAGAACUCCCACUGCCGCGACCAGAAGAUGGAGGCCUAUUGCGAUGAGGUUCGGUGCCUGGAAGACAAGUUCUAUGGGCUCGAGCUCAACCACAUCGCCCGGCGCUACAACGAGACUGCGGACGAGCUGGCUAAAAUAGCCUCGGGGCGAACAACGGUUCCCCCGGACGUUUUCUCCCGAGACCUGCAUCAACCCUCCGUCAAGAUCGACGACACGCCCGAGCCCGAGGCACCCUCGGCCUAGCCCGAGGUACCCUCGGCUCAGUCCGAGGCACCCUCGGCUCGGCCCGAGGCGCCCUCGGUUCAGCCCGAGGUACCCUCGGCCCCCGAGGGCGAGACGCUGCACGUCGAGGGGGAGCAAAGCGGGGUCACGCCUGAUCAAAACUGGCAGACCCCGUACCUGCAAUAUCUCCACCGAGGAGAGCUACCCCACGACCGAGCCGAAGCCCGGCGGUUGUCGCGGCGCGCCAAGUCGUUCGUCUUGCUGGGAGAUGGGAAGGAGCUCUACCACCGCAACCCCUCAGGCAUCCUCCAGCGAUGCAUCUCCAUCACCGAAGGUCAGGAACUCCUCCGAGAGAUACACUCGGGGGCUUGCGGCCAUCACGCAGCACCUCGAGCCCUUGUCGGAAAUGCUUUCCGACAAGGUUUCUAUUGGCCGACGGCGGUGGCCGACACCACUAGAAUUGUCCGCACCUGCGAAGGGUGUCAGUUCUACGCAAGGCAGACCCACCUGCCCGCUCAGGCUCUGCAGACGAUACCCAUCACCUGGCCUUUUGCUGUGUGGGGUCUAGACCUCGUCGGCCCCUUGCAGAAGGCACCCGGGGGCUACACGCACCUGUUGGUCGCCAUCGACAAAUUCUCCAAGUGGAUCGAGGUCCGACCCCUAAACAGCAUCAGGUCCGAGCAGGCGGUGGCGUUCUUCACCAACAUCAUCCAUCGUUUCGGGGUCCCGAACUCCAUCAUCACCGACAACGACACCCAGUUCACCGGCAGAAAGUUCCUGGACUUCUGCGAGGAUCACCACAUCCGGGUGGACUGGGCCGCCGUGGCUCAUCCCAUGACGAAUGGGCAAGUAGAGCGUGCCAACGGCAUGGUUCUACAAGGACUCAAGCCUCGGAUUUACAACGACCUCAACAAGUUCGGCAAGCGAUGGAUGAAGGAACUACCCUCGGUGGUCUGGAGCCUGAGGACAACACCGAGCCGAGCCACGGGCUUCACGCCGUUCUUUCUAGUCUAUGGGGUCGAGGCCAUCUUGCCCACAGACCUGGAAUACGGUUCCCCGAGGACGAGGGCCUAUGCCGACCAAAGCAACCAAGCUAGUCGAGAAGACUCGCUGGACUAGCUGGAAGAGGCUCGGGACAAGGCCUUACUCCACUCGGCGUGGUACCAGCAGUCCAUGUGACGCUACCACGCCCGAGGGGUCCGGUCCCGAGACCUCCAGGUGGGCGACCUGGUGCUACGGCUGCGACAAGACGCCCGAGGUCUACACAAGCUCACGCCCCCUGGGAGGGGCCGUUCGUCAUCGCCAAAGUUCUGAAGCCCGGAACGUACAAGCUGGCCAACAGUCAAGGCGAGGUCUACAGCAACGCUUGGAACAUCCAACAGCUACGUCGCUUCUACCCUUAAGAUGUUUUCAAGUUGUUCAUAUACCUCGCUCCCACGCAAAGUUUAGUCAUCAAGGAAGGGUCAGCCUUGCCUCGGCAAAGCCCGACCCUCCCUCGGGGGCUAAAAGGGGGGAAUCCCCUCUGCGUCGAAUUUUUUCCUCGAAAAAAGAUCCUUUCUGCCAGAAUGUCUUUCGUGCUUUUCGACUACUUCGAAAGUGGAUCCUGAAAACGACGAAGUACACGUAAGCAGCCAAGGCUGACCGAGCCGAGGGACUCCUACGCCUCCGGGAUACGGAUACCUCACUCAUCACCUUCUGCGAUAAGUAACUCAUGUUCGGAUGAGUGAUUCCGCAGACCGAACAAGUCUUCACGUUCGAAAGCCCUUCUGUCGGAGCGAUUCUUCGAGCCUUCUCGACUGCGUCGGUGACAGAGCCCCAUGGACGGGUAAGAGUGCGCGUAAGCAAGGUCCUCCCCCUACGGCGCGGGGACUGGGUCCCACACGUCAUGCAAGCCGGCCCAGAGCAGAAGAAGCCGAACCGUCGCGCGCGGUGCAUGCAACCGCCCAGCGGUUACAAGCGGCUCUCCACUUUUGCCCAGACCAGCGGGCGAAAGGGCAGGCAGCCAUGCAGGCGGCAUACAACCGCGCCAAGUGGGCGCACUUCUCCGACAUCCAACACGCCCAGCAUGGAGGCCCACGCCCACGCGUCACGCAACCGGCGCGACGGAUGCUUCGUGCAAGCAACUGCACCGCCACUUGCGCCACUACCGCGCCUCCUCGACUGCGGAACCAAUACCGCGACUCGAGGCGACCUAGCGCACGACCCAGCAGCGCCAGCCUGGCGCGAUGGUCAAUGCGGCCAAAAAUGGGCCAGCAGUAAUGGCGGUGGCAGGCGGGCAGGAGCAGCAGUCACGUCGUCAGCCAGGCUUACGUCCCAUCCGGGGGCAGCGAGAGAACCCUCUCUCACGGCGUAAAGACGACGCGCCCAUGUUCCGUUCCUCGAACUGCUCGCGCACGCGCAACGGCCGCCCCGCGAACCGCACGCCCCGUCGCAUUAACUCCGCGGCAGGAAAGGCGGCGCCUCUGGCAGGGGAAGCGAGCGGCGCUUCGCCUUCGCCAUAAUGACCGCGUCAAAAAAGGUACGCCACAUUAUUCGAUUUCAAAUCCUUUUCCUUUUUUUUCCUCUUUCUCUCUCUUACAACAGGGACCAGGAAAGGGGAAUACCCCGAAAAGGAUCCUUCUCCAUGAAGGAACCAGGCCCCGAGCCUCCCUACUGAUCAGAGGUUCGAAGGCUGGCCCCUCGGAAGGGUUCAACAGCCGCCUCAGAGCGCGUGGGCUCCACACCCACUACUGGUCAGAGGUUCGAAGGCCGGCCCCUCGGAAGGGUUCAACGGCCGCCUCAGGCUACUCGGGCUCCGCGCCCACUACUGAUCAGGGGUUCGAAGGCUGGCCCACGAAGGGUUCACAGCCGCCUCAGACACAGAGCGAGGGAUGACCAUGGGUACGUUCGAUACAUAACCAAGGCUCGAGCUGCGCUCCCGAGGUACCCUAGGACAUUUCCGAGACCAGCGGGAACGAUCUUGUAACGGAAUCCCAUCAGAGGGAGGCAUCGAGCCCUCGGACCCCGUCGCCAGGGGACCGGGUCCGGCAGAUCACCCGUAGGUACUUUUGGGCGCGCCUCUGGGCCUCUAGCCGACCCCUAACGAAUGGGGCACGAACGUCCGCUCAGAUUACCCGCCUGCAGCUCACCGGAGACACCAUGUUUGGCGCCCACCGAGGGCAACAUGGCGCUUUCCUCCCUCCUCCUUGCGGAAAGGCAACGCAGGGGCGUAUGUAAAAAAGUCGAGUCUGUCCCUGAUCGCCCUCUCGCCCUGUGCAGAGGCUCGGGGGCUGCUCUCGCAAACCCGGCUCCGGUCAAACCAUUGACAGCGUCAACAUACCAGCCCGAGAACUUGGGACCCGACCGUACACCCGGGCUACGGCCAGCUCGCAUGAGGGAACGACCAGACCAGCCGAAGCAUUACGCGAGGCAUUAAGACCUCGGAGGAGUCAAACCACUCCUCCGAGGCCUCGGGGGCUACACCCGGCGGGUGCGCUCGCGCGCACCCACCGGAACAAAACGCAACCGAGAAAGGCUGGUCCCCUUGCAAAAAAGUGCGACGAAAGCCUCCAAGCGAGUGCUAACACUCCCUUCGAGGCUCGGGGGCUACUGUCGGGGACCAUAAUUAGGGGUACCCUCAAGGCUCCUAAUUCUCAGCUGGUAACCCCCAUCAGCAUAAAGCUGCAAAGGCCUGAUGGGUGCGAUUAAGUCAGGGAUCAGUCCAUUCGAGGGACUCGAUCACGCCUCGCCCGAGCCUAGCCUCGGACAAGGGCAGCCGACCCCGGAGGAUCUCCGCCUCGCCCGAGGCCCCCCUCCAGUGGCGAACAUAUUUCCGGCUCGCCCGAGGCCCUGUCUUCGCCAAGAAGCAACCUUGACCAAAUCGCCGCGCCGACCGACCAAAUCGCAGGAGCAUUUAAUGCAAAGGUGGCCUGACACCUUUAUCCUGACGCGCGCCCUUCAGUCGACAGAGCCGAAGUGACCGCCGUCACUUCGCCGCUCCACUGGCCGGCCUGACAGAAAGACAGCGCCACCUGCGCCGCUCCGACUGCGGUGCCACUUGACAGAGUGAGGCUGACAGGCAGUCAGGCCCGGCCAGAGGCACCAUAGGAAGCUCCGCUUCGCCCGACCCAGGGCUCGAACUCGGGCUAAGCCCCGGAAGACGGCGAACUCCGCUCCGCCCGACCCAGGGCUCGGACUCGGGCUAAGCCCCGGAAGACGGCGAACUCCGCUCCGCCCGACCCAGGGCUCGGACUUGGGCUAAGCCCCGGAAGACGGCGAACUCCGCUCCGCCCGACCCAGGGCUCGGACUUGGGCUCAGCCUCGAAAGACGACGAACUCCGCUCCGCCCGACCCAGGGCUCGGACUUGGGCUCAGCCCCAGAAGACGACGAACUCCGCUUCGCCCGACCCCAGGGCUCGGACUCCGCCCUGGCCUCAGCCAACGGUCUUCGCCUCGCCCGACCCAGUGGCUCGGACUCGACCUCGGCCACGGAAGACAGACUCGACCUCGGCCUCGGAGGAGCCUCCACAUCGCCCAACCUAGGGCGCGGGCCGGCCACAUCAACGGGAGGCGCCAUCAUUACCCUACUCCAAGCUGACUCAGGCUACGGGGAACAAGACCGGCGUCCCAUCUGGCUCGCUCCGCCAGAUAGGCAAUGAUGGUGUCCCGCACGCUCCCUGACGACGGCGGCCCUCGGCCCCCUUACGGAAGCAAGAAGACGUUAGCAAGGACUCGACAGCCCCGACAGCUGCCCUUCCACCAGGCUCCAGCGCUCCUCCGACGGCCACGACAUCACACCAACUGGGUGCUAAAACCUCUCUGGCUGUCACGACGGCGUGUACUUAGGGCACUAGCUGUCACACCCGGAUUCUAGGGGUCCAAAACCCGGGCGCGAACAUAAACACCAGGUGUGCUAGGACCAAGUCUCACACAUAUGAUGAAUCAUGGCACAGGAUCGAAUGUCACAACUUUACUAUAUAAUAGGAGUUCUAUACAAAAUAAAUAAUUAAUUACAUUAUAAGGAGACAACGGUCCAGCAACCCAAAGUUGACUGGGAGACGACGACCUAGACCACUCACGAACAGCAUCCUCCAUGCGCCUCAUCCUGCGGUACCUGUUCUUGACCUGUGGGGGGGGGGGUGUGAGACAGCAAGGGUGAGCUCACAUACGUUCAUCGCUCAACAAGUUGUGGGGAAUAAUGUGCAUGAACUCGCCAAAGAUGGGAGCUCACGUGAAGUGUAAGGCUUACCAAAGAGGAUGGUUAGAGCUGAGCAUUGCUUUUAAAGUUGGUCAAAAUUUUAUUAGCAGUUACUAAGUAUAAGUAAAUACCAACCCAAUUAAGUAGUAGAACAAAAGUAACAUCAUCACCUGCGAUGCAAUGCAUAUGACAAAUUGAAUUUAGUUCCAUAAAUUAAUCAUGUGAGGGUCCGAGCCGCUCAUGACCGUGAGCACGACUAGUAUACCAGUUUUACACUCUGCAGAGGUUGCGCAUCUUUACCCACAAGUCAUGUUACCCAUCUGCCAAGGGAUCGCGACUUCCCAUACACCUCUACCGAGGAGGCGAGGCAGGGUAACACUACGAGGCCUUUACAAAGUUCCGCUAGCUUCAGAAAACCCGCUACAGUUAUAGGAAGCUCCAAUGCAGGAAUCCCUUGCAGGACCGCCAUCGUAGCAAAAUCCUCCCGAGGGCCUCCCUACACUGACCACUCCCCUACUGCCCUUGCCCCUUUCGGGUAAGGUAGUCCUCCACUAGCUUUCCUAAUUAAUCAGCCAAGGGCGUCCCAUUAAACCCUUGUGGUAGCACUGUUUUCCCGGGUGGUCGCUCCAUGUUCCAAUUAACAUAAUGAUCUUAUCAUGAACAGUGAUAAUAAACAGAUAAUAAAAGUGUGAUCAUGAAUAAUGUAUCUUCAUACCCAAAACCACAUAAAGCACUAGCAAGUACUACCCAAAAAGUUCAGUGGUAAACAAGGUAUAAAGAUAAUCAAACUAGGGUAACCUAUUGGGUCCCAUCAAAAUUAACCUAUGCAGAUCAUUAUGAUUAAUCAGAACAUGAGUAGGUAAAAAGAAGUGAUCAAGGGCACAACUUGCCUGGGACUUGAGAUUCCAGGUACCAGGAUGAUCUUCAGAUGACUCGUGACCUCACGCUAGUCGUAGCAAUACAAACAAACAUUGUAUAGGCAAAAUUAACAUUACACCAAACAUAAGUACAAACUGCAUAAUAACGAUCUACGCGUUGCUACGAGACUAACGCAACUGGAACGAGUCAAAUCGGAUUUAAAACGGAGGAGAUACAAAUUUUCUAAGGUUUAGGUAUUUGAUACGAGAUUAAUUAAGAGAUCAAUUUUAUUAUUGUUUUCAUGUCAAAACAGAGGCAUUAGGUGAUAAACAACAUUAUUACAAAAUCAUAGCAAUUAAAAUGGAUUAAUUUGGACAUCAUAUGAAUUUUCUAUGAAUUAAACCAAUUCUUAGCAUUUAUUUCUACAUUAAAAAUCCAAUUCUAUAUUUGUUUUCUGAUUUUUCUGACUCUCUGGACUGGGCGCACUAAUAAAGAGAAGUUCAGGGGCUAAGCCGCAAGAUUCCUAAGACUCAGCCCACAUCAGCUAUGGAUGGCGGGUUGAUUACUGCUUUCCUCGGGGUCUCUUUAGAAAAAUGCUCCGCGAAGGGGUAUGGAUCUAUCCUGGCUGUCCGAUUCAAGGUCUAUGGUCAAGAUUAGAUCCACGCUUUAUGAAAUCCCGCCCAGAUCUGGGCCUUACGAUCACAAUCUAACCGCCCGAACUCCUCGGUACGAAGGGGGACGCAAGAUUUAAUCUACCCCCUCCGCUUAUCAUCCUACGGUCCUGGUUUCUUUAUCCCGAUCCUCUUAAUCCCCGCCGUCCAUCGCGCGAUCAAGGGAUGCCCUGGCGUCUUCUUCCUCACCGGUUCUCUCUUCUACCCUUACACCGGCCAUGAAGCACGGUGGCCAGGGAACCCUCCGCGGCGGAUGCCCUGUCAAAGCACAAGCCUCGAUGCCCAAGCUCCCCAUGCAUUCCUCUCACACCGGCCAGUCAGUCCAAGGCGAUCGAGGCCACUAUAGCGCACUGACCAGCCGUAACCACCGUGCGAGCCCAAGUCUACAUGUGGCCGGUGAACCAGGGACGGGUAAAAGGACAACAUAGCGAAAGAUUCGCUUACCACUGAUGAGGUCGCGGCGACAUCCCGAUGACGGUCCACAAGUAACCCAUGUCUGUGCGUUGAGGCCCAGCCAUGGCGGCGCGCUGCACAGCGGCGAUUCCUCUGGUCGCUCCAUCCACGGCGUGAUCUGCAGCCCCCGAACUGGAUCCACGAGGAGGUUCAAGAGGAAAACAGAAGCAGCUGCCCCACCCGACCACGUGCACAGAACGACGGCGCGAGCGAAUUUGCAGAGCGGUGACGUUCAUCACCGAAUCGCCCUCAAUUUUCCCGUCUGGUGUUUUGGGCGAGGCGGCGAUGCUCCGGUUUGGUGGAGAACAGGGUGCGGCCAGGGCGGUUUAUAUACCCCGAGCCCCCGAACGCAUCAGAGACGACCAUGGUCAGCUGGUGAUCCCGGUUUAUCGCAACAACCCGCCGCGGCUUCACGCUGAUUUCGGCGAGAGGUUGGAGCGGACAAAGUGGCCCCACCCGGUAGUGUCAGACGGCGUAUAGUGCGGCGAAGUGGAUGACGAGUGGACCCCCACCGUGAACCCGAGUCCGCGCGCGAGUCUGGAUCCGGAGAUCCCGCGAGUUUUGGUUUGGUUCUGUUACGGUGGAUCCGGUGGAGUCGGCUGCCACAGGUAGGAGAUGGUGCUGACCACGCGGGGCCCACACGGAAGUGUCCCAACAGAAAAAGCGAAGGGAGAGUAGCCGAAUGGGCUGGCGCGCGUUUGAGGGGGAAAGAAGGAGAUGGGCCACGGCGCGAGAAACAGCCCAAGUGGAGAGACGAGCUUCACCUUUUCUUUUCUAUUUUUUCCCUAUUUCUUUUCAAGUUUGUGCUUCAACAUCAAUUUAAAUUUAAGUUUCCUAUUUCAAGUCUCAAAUAUCCAAUUCAAAUUCAAAAACCUGUUUGAAUUUUUAUGAUCUCAAAUAUAUUUUUAAUGUAAAGAUAAAUCAUCCUUUCAUUUUUUUUGAGUCUCACAUUAUGUUUAGAACUUUAAAUGUCCAGUUUAGAUUUGAGUCAUCAAACUUCAAUACUAUCCUUAUGUGCCUAUACUCAUUUAAAUAAAUGCUUGUAAUGUUUUAUUUUUUUAAUAAAAUGAAUAAUCAUUCAGUUGGAUACUAAACCUUUCUACAUUCAUUCUUUGUUUCAAAAGCUCAGUCCUCAAAAUCCAAAGCUCAAGUAUAGAUUGAAGAUAUCUCACUAUACUAUUUUAUUUCUUUAUUUAUUUUAUUAUUAUUAUACCAAUUUUGGGCCUUACAAAUCCUACCCCCCUUAACAGAAAUCUCGUCCUCGAGAUUUGUAAGAGGGUGCAUAAUCAUGUUAUCUCAAACAUAUGCACAGACAAAACCUCAGCAUGAUGCAUAAUUUAUUAGCAAAACACAGGGUCAAAUAGACGUUAUUAUUAUUCCUCGUAAGAUAGUAUCAACUACUAACUAAGUAACAUUUAACUAAAAUAGUAAUAUAUAUAUAUAUAUAUAUAUAUAUAUAUAUAGGGACGAGGUAAUGGAAGCCCUGGGCUUCCAUUAGUACCAGGAAGCCCCAGCCAGGUAUAGCCACGUCCCGUACCAGCGGGCGUCCCACCGGGCACGGGUUCUGACUCAGACAGAUUUUAGCGUAAAACGUAAACAAAAACAGUGUAAAUGAUUACGAAUUUUAGCGUAAAUCGUAGAUCUGUUUUGAAACUGCGAAUGCAGCCCGAAAAUUACGGCGUAAAAAUCUCGCGCGUCCCAUCGUGAUCGGGUUCUGACUCAGAAAGAUUUUAGCGUAAAACAUGAACCAAAACAGCGUAAACGAGUACGAAAUUUAGCGUAAAUCGUAUAUCUGUUUCGAAACCGUAAAUGGGUCCCGAAAAUUACGGCGUAAUAAUCGCGUGCGUCCGAUCGUGCGCGGGUUUUGGCUCAAAUAGAUUUUAGCGUACAACGUGAGCUAAAACAGUGUAAAUGAGUACACAAUUUAGCGUAAAUCGUAUACAUGUUUCGUAACAGCAAAUGAGGCCUGAAUUACGGCGUGAAAAUCGCGUGCGACCGAUUGAGCGCGGAUUUCAGCGUAAAACGUGAACCAAAACAUUGUAAAUUAGCACAAAUUUUACCAUAAAUCGUAUAUCUGUUUCGUAAUGGCGAAUGGACCCCAAAUUUACGGCUCCAAAAAUCGUGCGCCACCGGUCGUGUGCGGGUUCUGGCUCGGACGGAUUUAAGCGUAAAUCGUGAACCAAAACAACGUAAUGAGUAUGAAUUUUAGCGUAAAUCGUCCAUCUGUUUCAUAAUAACGAAUGUAGAUCGAAUGUAUCUCUCAGCGCAUGAGAUUGUCAUAAAAUGCAUCAAGAAAUUUCGUAAAUUGGUGUAAGAUACAACAAGAAGUGAUCUGAGGUAAUUGUAGCGUAAAAUGCAAGCUAACCAUCUACAGGAGAACUGUUUCAGAUUUUACAAUAAGAUAUAAAAGAUAAUUAUUCCUGUACUCAGCUAUGAUAAUGUCGUGUUUACAUUUUAGCUGUUGGUACAUACACACAAAACUCGGUUUCACCAUAACACCACUGUUAGCAAAAAACUGAGUUCAAAAGGCUCUUCCAGCUUUCCUAAUGUGGAGAAAACCACUGAGGUCCAUAUCUGCAAACGUAACAUGAACUGUUAAUAUGAUCUUUCCUUGUUAAUAUGUCUUUUCAAGCUUGUUAUGACUAACAUAACCUAAAGUCUAAACUGAAUGCAAACUUGAGUUAGAAGAUCAUAUUACCUAUAGCACAAAUGUCAUGUUAUUCUGACUAUUUUAGGACCAACAAACCAUUUGGAAGCCAAACAAAUCCCUGUUCAAUUUGCCUCAAAGCAACAUAUAAGAAAUUACAUAGUCAGCUUCUGAAUACGUGCACUGCUCUUAAAUGAAGAAAACUGGAGCCAGGCAAAAAAAUAAGUGAAACUAUACCCACAAAUAACCCAGUGAAAUCAUAAAGCUAAGGGUGCACAUGGAUCGGACACAAUCGUAUAUCACUAAUAUUACAUUUGUUUCUAGAUUUCUAUUCGGAUUUGAAUAUGGAUAGUAUCAACUAGCUAUGUCGGAUAGGAUACAAAUGGAUAUCGACAUCAUAAACAGAUUUAUUUGUUCUGAUAUGGAUGCGGUAUCGGAUGUUAAACAUCCAGACUCAAAUACGAACGGAUCUGAACUCCUCUAAACAAAUUCUAUGGUUAGAAAAUAUAUUCCAGCGGAAACCCACAACCUCGGAACCCCAAACAGCCCUUGCGGAUGGAAAUCCACAAACCAGAUCCGAAGCUCCCGAACCCCGCCAGCUGCCUUAAGCGCAGAAAACCCCCAAAUCGUAACCCCAUCAAUCGUAGAUUCCACAAAAUCCACACCCGUCACUAGAGAGACAAGAAAGAGGAAUCACAGAGAAUUGCCAAUGGACCUCGGUGCAGGCGGCGGUCAGCAUCUGGCCAAUGGAGCUCGGUGCAGGCGGUGACGCAGGGAUGCCCGGAGCUGGAUUCUUGGUCGGUGAUGGCGCGGGAGCAGGAGAGGGUGUCGGAGAUGGCAUCGCGGAGGAGAUAUUGGGGCUGGCGCUGGGGUCGGACGAGGAGGCAGAGUAACCGGGGGGCACUGCCGCGUCGAGCCAACGCCGGAGAGCCCCCGAGGUGGCGAGCAGCAGAGCAGGAGAUCCGGACGCCGGUGCCCGGUGCCUAGGCAGCUGGCCGAGUCUGCGAAUCACCGAGUCUGGAGAGGGCGAGGGGCGAACAGAUCUGGGCUAGGAGGCACCUCUGGAACGAUGACAGGGAGGCGAUCGCCAUGGAUCUCGUCUAUGGGAUGCUUGUCCGCCGUGCUCGCUCGUGUCGCGCAACAGCCGCCACUGAAACCCUAGUCUCAGCCAUCGCGCGGAAGGCCAGGUAGAGCGGUUGGUUUUAUACAAUGGUACAUGAGCGUAAACUUGUGUAUAACUAAGCGUAAACAUUAUAGUGGGUGGACCGGAUGGUCGCCUGGUCAACCGAGCGGGUGGUUAGGGCUUCCUGUAGUUAAAAAGAGCCCAGGGCUCUAAAUACUAUAUCUAUAUAUAUAUAUAUAUAUAUAUAUAUAUAUAUAUAUAUAUAUAUAUAUGUUUAUGUAGUUGGGUGGAGUGGUGGUGGAGGUAGUGGGUGAUUAGGACAGUAUAGGUAUCCAGUUACUGUUCAUGUAAGAUAUAAGCUAGACAGGUUGAGGUAAGAAAGAUUAUGGCAAGGAAAAGGCUUUAUCCAAAUUGUUUAAGUCCUGAUUUAUCUCGAGAUUCACUUGACUGUUAUAUCCUCCCUUGACGAUGUUGAUCUUUUCUUCGCUGGUCUUGGUCUCAUUGAUUCGUGGUAAGUGCAUAUCAUCGGCGUUGGGGGAUAUGGUUAAGAUAGAUUUGGAUGGGAUAGACUACAUGAUGUAGGUCAAAACUUGUUUGACGAUGGGUGGGGAUAGAUAGAUUAUGCAAUUCUUCAUAACUCUAUUGGUUGGAUCAGAUCUCAUGCAUGUGGCUGAGUUGGUUUAAGGCACUAGUUUAGUUUUAAGUGCAUAAGGGGUAUGGCCUUAUCUUUUGUACUAGCAUUAAGUAACUUACUCUAGAUUAGAUCAUAAUAGAUUAGAUAAAAUCUAGAUUGGGUUGGGUAUGACUGGAUUAGACUAGUUAAGAUCUAAGUAAAUUUUGGAUUAGCUCAUGGUUGUUACUGUAGAGUGGGAUAUGUAUGCCUAUUAGAACAAGAUAAAUCCAUAAGGAUAAGGUAGAAUCUUUUGAGGUUAGUUAGAUCUAUUAGGAUAAGAUAAAAUCUUUUCAAGGUAAGAUGAAUCUAUUAAGGUAAGAGAGAGUCUUUUAAGAUAAGAUGGAUCUAUUAAAAUAUAUUCUAGUGGGGGAUAUUUUUAGUUGAUCUAGUUUAUCUUAUAAAUAUAUCCAGUUUAAUAGAUCCAUUUUUGUUGGGGGCCUUCGGCUUCCGAAGGUCCUCAAAAACAUGAUUUAACAAUGUUUCUGGAGUAUAAUGUGUGAACAGGUAUCUUCGGACUUGAAUCAGAAAGGGAGAAGCUCAAAAGAUACGAAGGUUGACACAGUGCCGAAGCUGUGAAGCAGGAAAGCUUCGGCAUGUUCGCAGAAAGGGGAACCGACUUAAAGAUGAAAAGGCCAUUUAGACCUCGAUAGAAUGCUAUAGAAUUAUCACCAAAUGUAAAGGGCAUGUAUGUAAUUUUGUAUGGGUUGUACCCCGUGCCUAUAAAUAGGUGAACAGUACCCCCGUACUGUUCACGCUGACUUGGCAUUUGCUUUUGCGUCACACUUGUAUUUUCAUCUCCUUCCAAGCCGAAGGUACAUUUAUAAUUCAAUAUUGUUUCUAUUUCUUUAUGAUGAGUUAAUAAAGUUAAAUGAAUAAUGUUAUAUGAUUAUUCACGCUAUCUUUUAUGUUUCAUAUGCUUCGUCUUUUACUAAUGUAUAUUAUAGUGAUGAAGGUUAAUCCUUCAUGACCUUCGUCCGGAGAUCGUUAUAUCCUAAGGGAAAUAAUGCUUCGAAGGACGAAGGAUCUUAAUGUUUAACAUUUUCUGUGUUGCCUUGUUCUUAACUCAUAGCAUUUGAGAACAAGUCCCCAACAUUGGCGCCCACCUCCGGUGAACUCACUUCCACUUCGAGUCUUCGCGAACACCUUCGGAAGCUAUAGACCUUCGCUAUGGCGCCGAAGAAAGCUUCAGCGGCUGGGGCUGCAGCACUACAACCGCUGGACCACAACCAGGAGACCGUCUCUCUUCGGGAGGCCAGAAGCCAGAAGAGAAAAGCUGUUAGCCCGACGCUUGAGGAAGAAGAGCUAGACCAAGAAAUCAGAGAGAUGGAGAUGCUACAUCAACAAGUGCAGAGGAAGAAGGAGAAGAUGGCCCGCCUAGCUGAGUUGCAAAGGCAAAUUGACGAAGCUUCUGAGGAAGUUCGCCAUCUCACUCACGAUGAGCAGAACAGAAGGCCUCAUCAGAAAGACCUUCAUCAGGAGGGCUUCGUCAACGAAGACGACUGGUAUGAUAAUUUCCAUCAGGGAAAUUUUGUUUUUGAUGAUGCUUCUCCUCUGUCUGCUGAGCUGCAGGCUACUCCUUGGCCUCCAUCCUAUAAGCCACCCCAGCUCCCCAUGUUUGACGGCCACUCCGACCCGAAGCAAUUCUUGAUGAGCUACGAAGCAACAGUGUCUUCGUACGGGGGCAACGCUGCAAUCAUGGCGAAGUCUUUCGUCAUGGCCGUCAGGAAUGUUGCUCAGACCUGGUAUUCCUCCCUUCGGCCAGGAACAAUCACUUCAUGGCAGAAGCUGAAGGAUAUGUUACUGACCAGCUUUCAAGGAUUUCAAACGAAGCCGGUUACAGCUCAAGCCCUCUUCCAGUGUAUUCAGGAUCACGAAGAAUACCUUCAGGCGUAUGUCCGAAGGUUCUUACGAUUGAGGGCGCAGGCACCAACGGUGCCCAAUGAAAUCGUUAUCGAAGCCAUGAUCAAGGGGCUUCGUCCUGGACCUGCAGCUCAAUACUUUGCUCGGAAGCCUCCUCAGACCUUGGAGAAAUUGCUCCAAAAGAUGGAUGAGUACAUUCGUGCUGACAAUGACUUUCGCCAAAGAAGGGAGGAGGCCUUCAGAUUUUCUGAGAUGACCAGGGGCUUCGGAGGAAGAUACUACCCGAGGCAUGUCCGUUCCAUUCACAGCACUCAGAAUGAUGAUAAGGGGAGUCAGCAAAACAGGCCGCAGUGCUCCUCACAGGCUUCGGGGCAACAACAAACUUCCUUUCGGCCACCAGCUCCAAGAGGCAGAGGCGCCAGGGGCUUCGGCGGAAGAUUCGGAGAUCAGCCAAGGAGACUGUUUUGCCUAUUCUGUGGAGAGGGCAAGGGCCACACCACUAGGACGUGUCAUGUUACAAUCCAGAAGCAAAAGGAACUAGCCGAAGCUGCAUCUCAACAAGCUCAGUCGAAGCAGGUUAUGCAUACUGCUUCGUUUCAUCCGCCUUAUGUCCCACAAUACAUAGACAACCACCCUGCGGCUUCUGUAGCUUCGGCAAGUCAACCUCAAGCUUCCUGGCAGCAGCUUCCGCCUCCACCUCCAUUGCAGCAAGGUCAACAGCCAGAAGGGAGUCAAUACGCUCCACAGCAGAGGGACUUCAGAGAACAGUCCGAAGCUCGCACAGUCAACAGCACUGUGCCAGAGUCGAAGCACAUUUAUUGACAUAUCCUACCUUUGAUAGCAGUCUUUUCUAUUCAGUUUUAUUUUCUGUGAAGCAAAAAACAUUGAUAGUUUCCAUGUAAUAAUUUCGUUGUUUCCACGAGAAAAAUUUAUUUGAUUCACAGGCCUAAGUUGCCGAAGCCUAAAAUUUCUUCCGUUACCAAGAAGGACCUUCGGACUAAAAAUCCUUCGGAGUAACAAAAAGUCGUUCUAAGGAACGCAGAGUAAGUUUAUAAAGUCACAAAAAGUCGUUCCAAAGGGAGCGCAGCGUAAGUUUUCUGCUCAGAAGUCGUUCCUAAAGGAAUGCAGAGCCUACAGCGAAAAAUCAACGCUGAUACCGUCUAAGUAAAAGACGAAGAAGCUCCUAAGGGAGGCUUACAGCGAUAAGUCAACGCUGAUACCGUCUAAGUAAAAGACGAAGAAGCUCCUAAGGGAGGCUUACAGCGAAAAGUCAACGCUGAUGCCGUCUAAGUAAAAGACGAAGAAGCUCCAAAGACGUUCCUAAGGGAAUGCAGAGCUUACGAAUAUAUUUUAUGUGUAUCUUCGGAACAAAUGUCACAUGCAUAACAUAACAUCAUCACAUCAUCUUGCAUAGCAUAAGCAUCAUACAUCAUAUCGCAUUUGGCAAGAGAAGGGGACACUCUCAACCUUCGAAGGGAUGCUUUGAAAAAGUGACAUUGAAAUUGUAUAAGCUUCGGAAUACAGUUUCGGGGAAUAUUUUCACGAAACAUGGGCGAACUCUAUCAGAUCAAUAUCAAAGUUGCAUAGCUUCGGAAAAUAGCUUCGGAAAAUGUUUUCACGAGGCAUCGAUGUCAUUCAUCAGAAUAAUUUUGACGAAGGCUAUCUUCUUCACGACGCAUGAAAAGAAGGGAAGGUGUUUUUUCGCCGAAGGCUCAAAAGUGGUAUGUAUUUAAAGUUUCAUGCAUCGUAAAGAAUUCAAUAAUGAAAAGAGACUUGUAUAUUACAUUCAAAUGUACAAAGUGUUGCAUAGAUUACACUUUAAAUGUUUUUUCCAAAUAGCACCUAAUCUUCCCUCAAUACUGCUUCGGCGGCUUCAUUCAGAAGUUGGUCAACAACCUUGUCCAUGAUAGUUUCGGCCAUUUGAUUAAUUUCUUCAUCCCCUUUUGUGUGGGGGUCGGCAGAUCGUCCAACAGUUUCUGAGCGAAGAGAACACUUCUUCAGUACUUUUACAAAUCGCGAGCAAAGUUUAAAAUGAAAAUUACAACGCAACAAGAACGACUAGUUGGUACCUAACUGUCUUUCGGGCUCCCUACUCCUUUCGGCAGCGUCUGCUACUCUUCUAGCAUCGUGAAUGCCUUUUUCGCUUCUUUCAAUGAUCUCUCGCGCCAUUCCUCGGUCGCCGUCGUUCCAGAUAUCAGUAAAAAAUUUGCCACCAACCACGCUUGCUUCGGCCGAGGGGUCCUUGACGUCUUCGGAAGAUAAGGUAGCUUCGGAUUGAGCUAAAAAUUUUACAUGCCCGCAACCUUUCUUCUCUAAGACAGAAGCAAUUCCUCUGGCGCCCGAAAAAGCGCAUAUGUCGCCACGACUGUUCAGAAUCUCUUCGAAGGCCUCUGCUUCGUGGCUAAUCCAUUCCAGCGGACCUUCGGGAUUGCCUCGAGAGAAAUUCUCUUCGCUGGAAAAGGCGCCUACGCUGGCGAAGCUGGAUUUAAUUUUAUUCACACAUUCUACAGAUUUGACAUAGCAUUUCCCCUGAGAUGUGCGAAGCUCCUUAACUUUUGAUUCCAAUUUGUUGACCAUAAAAUCACUAAGUUCUCGUUUCGUUUCCUCAAGCGCGCGCUCCUCUUUAGCUCUAGCCAGCUGUUUCUGAAGAUCUUUAAUCUCGCGUUUUUGAGCUUCGGCCUGGGCCUUUGAAGCAGCUUCGUCUUUUUUCACUUUAUCUACCAGUGUAAGCAGAAUUUUAUCUUUUUCCAAAGCUUCGUUUCUCAGUCUGAUAACUUCGGAGCGUAAAUUAUUAAACGCAAUGUCAUAGCUUUCAUCUUCGGCGCUCUUUUGGGCUCUUAGUGCGUUGCUUAGGAUCAGGCCCUAUACGAAAAAGAAUUCAUAUAAGAAAAAAGGAAUGAGUUGCGUAAAAAUAAGGGGGUUUUUCAAGUGUUUAAUUCCUAUACCUUCAGGCUGUUGUACGCAAGACUGUCUGCGAGGUCUUCUUUCGUCAUGGCGCUUAAUCCAGAUUCAAGCUUCGGGAAACCAAUACUUCUGGCCAUUUCUCGGCAGACAGAUAGCUCUUUGUUGUCAGGCAGGCAGUAUAAGAAGUCAUCUUCAUUCGUUCCAUUGAAUAUUAUUGCCCCCUUCGGAUAUUUUAGUUCCUUUGCAUAAUGGAUGGCUUCAUGAGUUUCUUCUUCAGAUAGCUUCUUCCCCGAAGCAUGUCGUAUCAUGUAAUCACGCGUGCUGGCAGGUGCUUCGGGGAUGGCGGUGUCAGUUUCUUCAACUAAUACUGGUUCUGGAAUUUUUAUUGCUUCGGCUUCAAAAGGUUGCUCCUUGUAGGGCUCUGAAGGCCCAGCUUCAGCUUCAGCUUGUUGAGCCGAAGCUUCAGUAGAAGCUUCAGCAACUUCAACACUCUUUUUUGGAAUUGUGCUUGAAGACUUAAUUGUCUCCAAGACGUCUAGUACAUUUACCAUUCUUUUCCUUUUUGGGGUCACUGAUGGCCCCUUUUGGUUUUUUGCUGUCCCAAUGAUUGCUGUAGGACUCAAAACUUCUGAUGUUUUGGAGCCCUCAGUUGCUUCUCUUACCUCCUCAAUUUUUUCUGUGAGCGGCGCUUCGGUUUUCUCUUUUGUUUCCGACAACAAAAUGUUUGAUUGUUCUGAUUCUAUCUUUGGUGGCACUUCGGCCGUUUCUGCGAUCUCUGGCAACAAGGCUGGCUCGAUUAGUUUUUCAGCUCCGGUGGCUGAAGAAGUUUUCCCGGUAAACUCCGACACCGAAGCUGGUUCAAUAUAACGCGGCCGUUGUGUAAGAACCUUUAUCUUUUUCCUUUUCGGUUCUGGCUCGCUAGGAGCAGCUGCAGCUUCUUCUUUUGCAGAGAUUGUGCUUUUUCUCUUCUGCCUUCGAAUGGGAUAGCAGUAAUCAGGGUAGACAAACCCAAUGGCAUCAAAUACCCGAUUCAGUCUCUUCUUUUUUCGGCCUCCGAAGGCUGCUGACAUUGCAUUAUCUUCAGCCUUCGAGUAGGUCCCGAGUAGCUCAUCACUUAAAUUGUCAAUGCUUUUCAACCACUCAUCAUCUGGCUCAAUAAAUUUAUCUCCAAAUUUGAAGGUGUACUUCAGUCUCACAAGCUCACCUUCGUCGGCCUUUUUUAUGGUUUCUUGUGGCAUUUCCCAUUUCUCAGCAAGCGGCCACACCCUGAAGGCGAUAUGUUCUUGUACUAAGUCCCUUGUUCCUAUAAAAGAGCAGACAACGCCGAAGGCUCUUUGGCACUCUUCGGCGGCUUCGUUCAUUUCAACCUUCGGCCUCCGAAGGCCGAAGCUUUGCCAAAUAGGACGCAUAAUUAUACCUUUGAUGUCUUCUCGUGCUGAUAAGUCAUUCUUCACAUAAAACCAUUCUGUCAUCCAAUCCCCGGGCCAUCUCUUCCGAAAGGUUGGUACGGGACAGCUUGCCCCGGACCGAGAAACGAAGCUGUAGCAGCCAAAGUUGUUAUGGUACUGUUCUUUGCCCCAAGGCUUUGUUUCAUAUAAUAAUUCAUGAACAUUACAAAAGCUUCUUGCGUCAGGCUUCAGACCUUGACUCCUCACGGCCCACACGAAGAUAUUUAGCCUUAUAAUUGCCUCGGGAGUAAGUUGAUGAAGAUAAACUUCGAAGAUUUUCAACACCUCCACGACGAAGCUGCUCAAGGGGAAUCGUAAUCCAGCUUUCAAAAAGCUUCGGUACACCACAACUUCAUUCUCUUCAGGGUGUGGACAAGUUUUUUCCCCUUCGUCCGCCCUCACAAUGGACAGAUCCCGGAAAUACCUUCCUCUCAUAUUAACAAGAUGAUUCUCUUUGAUAGUUGAUUUACCAUAAACUGAAUGGCUUGGUCGCCAGGGGCGAUCUUCGGAGUCUUCGCCACCGCUGUCCAUAUCAUAACUUUCACUGUCACCAGUAUCUUCAGACAGCCCCUCCAGAAUUUCCUUGGUAAUCUUUUCUGUGUUGGACUUCGACAUCGCUAUAAGAAACCCUAGGUUCUUCUCUUCAUCAAGACUCAGCUUCAUCUCAGCAGCAGCCUUCUUAGCAGCUUCAGACAUCUUCGGAAGCGCUAAAAAACUGUUUUUAAAAGCCGAAGCUUCAAAGCUAAAAACUUAGCAGAUCACAGUGCACAAGAGCUAAAAAAUGAGUGAGCAGGAGUGGUUGGCCAGAAAGCGUGCAAAAUAAGUUUGCGGUAUGGCCGUAUUUAUACGCUUGAUGCGUUGAAAGUUGAAAGACCCCACUUGUCAUUGAGUGUUGCUAUUCUAGCAAAGGGAAGGUGUUUUUUCGGACCUUCGGCAUAAAGCCUUCGUUCAUAUCGCAAUCUGAAUUUAUUAUUUCAAACAAAUUAAUAUUGCGAGGGGCUACUGUUGGGGGCCUUCGGCUUCCGAAGGUCCUCAAAAACAUGAUUUAACAAUGUUUCUGGAGUAUAAUGUGUGAACAGGUAUCUUCGGACUUGAAUCAGAAAGGGAGAAGCUCAAAAGAUACGAAGGUUGACACAGUGCCGAAGCUGUGAAGCAGGAAAGCUUCGGCAUGUUCGCAGAAAGGGGAACCGACUUAAAGAUGAAAAGGCCAUUUAGACCUCGAUAGAAUGCUAUAGAAUUAUCACCAAAUGUAAAGGGCAUGUAUGUAAUUUUGUAUGGGUUGUACCCCGUGCCUAUAAAUAGGUGAACAGUACCCCCGUACUGUUCACGCUGACUUGGCAUUUGCUUUUGCGUCACACUUGUAUUUUCAUCUCCUUCCAAGCCGAAGGUACAUUUAUAAUUCAAUAUUGUUUCUAUUUCUUUAUGAUGAGUUAAUAAAGUUAAAUGAAUAAUGUUAUAUGAUUAUUCACGCUAUCUUUUAUGUUUCAUAUGCUUCGUCUUUUACUAAUGUAUAUUAUAGUGAUGAAGGUUAAUCCUUCAUGACCUUCGUCCGGAGAUCGUUAUAUCCUAAGGGAAAUAAUGCUUCGAAGGACGAAGGAUCUUAAUGUUUAACAUUUUCUGUGUUGCCUUGUUCUUAACUCAUAGCAUUUGAGAACAAGUCCCCAACAAUUUUUAAUAGGGAAUAUUCUGUGUUGUCUAUUUUAUAAAUAUUUUCCCUUAUGUCUAGGUGUAUAUGUAGAUGCAAUUGUGGACAUUACUCCACAACCCAUCACACUCAAGCAAAAAUCCAAAUCAGACAAGUAUCAUAAGAACAAACAUUCAAGCAUACAAAAUAUUAAAAAAAGUUUUUAUUUUGUUCCUAAGAGUAGGUCUCCUAUCCCUAGAGGUCACUUUAGGUACAGGGAUUUCAAAGUGUGAAAUCCACAUUUGUCUUUAGAAAGAAAAGGUAAAAAUAAUCAGAGUAAAGCAGAAAUAGAUGAGAAAGAAUUAAGAUAAGUUUAGAAAGAAUCAGAGCAGCAGAGGUAAGUAAAUAAGGGUUGUCCAGUUCUAUUUAGGUUUCGUCCUACAGUCAACAUUCCUCUGAUACCACUUCUGUCACACCCGGAUUCUAGGGGUCCAAAACCCGGGCGCGAACAUAAACACCAGGUGUGCUAGGACCAAGUCUCACACAUAUGAUGAAUCAUGGCACAGGAUCGAAUGUCACAACUUUACUAUAUAAUAGGAGUUCUAUACAAAAUAAAUAAUUAAUUACAUUAUAAGGAGACAACGGUCCAGCAACCCAAAGUUGACUGGGAGACGACGACCUAGACCACUCACGAACAGCAUCCUCCAUGCGCCUCAUCAUGCGGUACCUGUUCUUGACCUGUGGGGGGGUGUGAGACAGCAAGAGUGAGCUCACAUACGUUCAUCGCUCAACAAGUUGUGGGGAAUAAUGUGCAUGAACUCGCCAAAGAUGGGAGCUCACGUGAAGUGUAAGGCUUACCAAAGAGGAUGGUUAGAGCUGAGCAUUGCUUUUAAAGUGGUCAAAAUUUUAUUAGCAGUUACUAAGUAUAAGUAAAUACCGACCCAAUUAAGUAGUAGAACAAAAGUAACAUCAUCACCUGCGAUGCAAUGCAUAUGACAAAUUGAAUUUAGUUCCAUAAAUUAAUCAUGUGAGGGUCCGAGCCGCUCAUGACCGUGAGCACGGCUAGUAUACCAGUUUUACACUCUGCAGAGGUUGCGCAUCUUUACCCACAAGUCAUGUUACCCAUCUGCCAAGGGAUCGCGACUUCCCAUACACCUCUACCGAGGAGGCGAGGCAGGGUAACACUACGAGGCCUUUACAAAGUUCCGCUAGCUUCAGAAAACCCGCUACAGUUUAUAGGAAGCUCCAAUGCAGGAAUCCCUUGCAGGACCGCCAUCGCAGCAAAAUCCUCCCGAGGGCCUCCCUACACUGACCACUCCCCUACUGCCCUUGCCCCUUUCGGGUAAGGUAGUCCUCCACUAGCUUUCCUAAUUAAUCAGCCAAGGGCGUCCCAUUAAACCCUUGUGGUAGCACUGUUUUCCCGGGUGGUCGCUCCAUGUUCCAAUUAACAUAAUGAUCUUAUCAUGAACAGUGAUAAUAAACAGAUAAUAAAAGUGUGAUCAUGAAUAAUGUAUCUUCAUACCCAAAACCACAUAAAGCACUAGCAAGUACUACCCAAAAAGUUCAGUGGUAAACAAGGUAUAAAGAUAAUCAAACUAGGGUAACCUAUUGGGUCCCAUCAAAAUUAACCUAUGCAGAUCAUUAUGAUUAAUCAGAACAUGAGUAGGUAAAAAGAAGUGAUCAAGGGCACAACUUGCCUGGGACUUGAGAUUCCAGGUACCAGGAUGAUCUUCAGAUGACUCGUGACCUCACGCUAGUUGUAGCAAUACAAACAAACAUUGUAUAGGCAAAAUUAACAUUACACCAAACAUAAGUACAAACUGCAUAAUAACGAUCUACGCGUUGCUACGAGACUAACGCAACUGGAACGAGUCAAAUCGGAUUUAAAACGGAGGAGAUACAAAUUUUCUAAGGUUUAGGUAUUUGAUACGAGAUUAAUUAAGAGAUCAAUUUUAUUAUUGUUUUCAUGUCAAAACAGAGGCAUUAGGUGAUAAACAACAUUAUUACAAAAUCAUAGCAAUUAAAAUGGAUUAAUUUGGACAUCAUAUGAAUUUUCUAUGAAUUAAACCAAUUCUUAGCAUUUAUUUCUACAUUAAAAAUCCAAUUCUAUAUUUGUUUUCUGAUUUUUCUGACUCUCUCGACUGGGCGCACUAAUACAGAGAAGUUCAGGGGCUAAGCCGCAAGAUUCCUAAGACUCAGCCCACAUCAGCUAUGGAUGGCGGGUUGAUUACUGCUUUCCUCGGGGUCUCUUUAGAAAAAUGCUCCGCGAAGGGGUAUGGAUCUAUCCUGGCUAUCCGAUUCAAGAUCUAUGGUCAAGAUUAGAUCCACGCUUUAUGAAAUCCCGCCCAGAUCUGGGCCUUACGAUCACAAUCUAACCGCCCGAACUCCUCGGUACGAAGGGGGACGCAAGAUUUAAUCUACCCCCUCCGCUUAUCAUCCUACGGUCCUGGUUUCUUUAUCCCGAUCCUCUUAAUCUCCGCCGUCCAUCGCGCGAUCAAGGGAUGCCCUGGCAUCUUCUUCCUCACCGGUUCUCUCUUCUACCCUUACACCGGCCAUGAAGCACGGUGGCCAGGGAACCCUCCGCGGCGGAUGCCCUGUCAAAGCACAAGCCUCGAUGCCCAAGCUCCCCAUGCAUUCCUCUCACACCGGCCAGUCAGUCCAAGGCGAUCGAGGCCACUAUAGCGCACUGACCAGCCGUAACCACCGUGCGAGCCCAAGUCUACCUGUGGCCGGCGAACCAGGGACGGGUAAAAGGACAACAUAGCGAAAGAUUCGCUUACCACUGAUGAGGUCGCGGCGACAUCCCGAUGACGGUCCACAAGUAACCCAUGUCUGUGCGUUGAGGCCCAGCCAUGGCGGCGCGCUGCACAGCGGCGAUUCCUCUGGUCGCUCCAUCCACGGCGUGAUCUGCAGCCCCCGAACUGGAUCCACGAGGAGGUUCAAGAGGAAAACAGAAGCAGCUGCCCCACCCGACCACGUGCACAGAACGACGGCGCGAGCGAAUUUGCAGAGCGGUGACGUUCAUCACCGAAUCGCCCUCAAUUUUCCCGUCUGGUGUUUUGGGCGAGGCGGCGAUGCUCCGGUUUGGUGGAGAACAGGGUGCGGCCAGGGCGGUUUAUAUACCCCGAGCCCCCGAACGCAUCAGAGACGGCCAUGGUCAGCUGGUGAUCCCGGUUUAUCGCAACAACCCGCCGCGGCUUCACGCUGAUUUCGGCGAGAGGUUGGAGCGGACAAAGUGGCCCCACCCGGUAGUGUUAGACGGCGUAUAGUGCGGCGAAGUGGAUGACGAGUGGACCCCCACCGUGAACCCGAGUCCGCGCGCGAGUCUGGAUCCGGAGAUCCCGCGAGUUUUGGUUUGGUUCUGUUACGGUGGAUCCGGUGGAGUCGGCUGCCACAGGUAGGAGAUGGUGCUGACCACGCGGGGCCCACACGGAAGUGUCCCAACAGAAAAAGCGAAGGGAGAGUAGCCGAAUGGGCUGGCGCGCGUUUGAGGGGGAAAGAAGGGGAUGGGCCACGGCGCGAGAAACGGCCCAAGUGCAGAGACGAGCUUCACCUUUUCUUUUCUAUUUUUUCCCUAUUUCUUUUCAAGUUUGUGCUUCAACAUCAAUUUAAAUUUAAGUUUCCUAUUUCAAGUCUCAAAUAUCCAAUUCAAAUUCAAAAACCUGUUUGAAUUUUUAUGAUCUCAAAUAUAAUUUUAAUGUAAAGAUAAAUCCUCCUUUCAUUUUUUUUGAGUCUCACAUUAUGUUUAGAACUUUAAAUGUCCAGUUUAGAUUUGAGUCAUCAAACUUCAAUACUAUCCUUAUGUGCCUAUACUCAUUUAAAUAAAUGCUUGUAAUGUUUUAUUUUUUUAAUAAAAUGAAUAAUCAUUCAGUUGGAUACUAAACCUUUCUACAUUCAUUCUUUGUUUCAAAAGCUCAGUCCUCAAAAUCCAAAGCUCAAGUAUAGAUUGAAGAUAUCUCACUAUACUAUUUUAUUUCUUUAUUUAUUUUAUUAUUAUUAUACCAAUUUUGGGCCUUACACUAGCUCUCCUCCGCUAGACACGUAGCACUCUGCUACACCUCCCAUUAUACACCUGGAUCCUCUCCUUACGCCUAUAAAAGGAAGGACCAGAGCCCUCUUACAGAGGGUUGGCCGCGCGGGGACGAGGACAAGACAGGCGCUCGCGUGAGGCCGCUCGCUCCCUCUCCCGUGUGGACGCUUGUAACCCCCUACUGCAAGCGCACCCGACCUGGUCGCGGGACGAACACGAAGGUCGCGGGAUUUCCACCUCUCUCACGCCCAUCUCCAGCCACCUCACUUCCCCCCUUCGCGCUCGGCCUCGCGCCGACCCAUCUGGGCUGGGGCACGCGGCGACAUUUCACUCGUCGGCUUAGGGACCCUCCGGUCUCGAAACGCCGACACAUAUAUAGAAGUUUGUAUUGCAAUAUAGUGGUGAAAUAACUAGAUUAAAAUAACAAAAUUUAUAUAUGACUAGGAUCACAAAUGGAUUACGAAACAUUUUCUUAUAACGGUAUAACACAUAUUUGCACAUGAGUUAUCGUGUUAUUAUAUGUUAUCAUGGUAUUAUAUGUUCCGUUGCAACGCACAGGCACUUCUCUAUUAUAUUAAUAUGUUUUCUCUAGGAAAUGUGUGGUUUUGACGAAGAAGCGAAGUCAUAUAAGGAUCCUAGCGCGAUAGAGUUGGUAAAAAUAUAAAAUAAUUGGCCUCAAAUGAAUUAUUACAUCACACUUUGCAAAUUUGUAAGUCAGAAUUCCCUUGAUCUAUAUAGUUAAAUAAAUUGUGCAAACAUAUAAUUCUAAUGUCUCAUGGUUUGCAGGUUCUUAUGCCAUGGAGAUACUCUAUAGGCUAUGUACUUUUCGUAUUAAUCAUGCAAACAAAUUUGUGUCUGUGUUUAAUUUCACACCUACUCCAGAAUGGUGCAAAGAUAUACCACUAAAAAGAUUUUGGGAAAUUAUUCUUCUUAUUUCAAAGAAAUAUAAGGUUACAUACGGUGUCAAACGUAUUGGAUGGUCACAUGACAUUUAUAUGUGGUGACAUUCAAUUCGACCUGAUGCUCCAAUCGAAUUAAAAGGGUAAUUACUUAAAAUUAUUAUGUCAUAUAUAUAUAUAUGUUAUGUUUAUAAUUUCAUAAUAUAACAAAGUUGGCAACUUUUUUAGUCUUAAUACUGGUCAUUUUGCUUUGCACAUUAUGGAGUGGUGGGACAGUGGUUUAAGAGCGCAACUUAGUAUGGUGAGAAUAAUAGCAUAUAUAUAAUUUGUAGUUAAGGAUAAUAUUACUUAUAACAUUUCUUUACAUGAUGGUGCGACUCUGCGUAGGAAUUUAUUUAUUGAUCUGUUGACAUACGAGAGGAACACAUCGAUUUAACAAUCCUGAAAAUAUACAAGAGUACCUUGAUCGUAUUAUGGAAAAAAAACUAGAUGAAAUAGAUAGUUAUGCUUAUGUUUAUUUUAUAUUUAUUGAUUUUGAAUUUUUGCCAUUAAAUCUUCUUGUUAAAUUUUAUACAAUACACUAUUAGAUGAGUGUCCGUGCGUUACAUGCCUGAGUUUCUCUUUGAUAUCAUUCCGGAUGGCUUGUGGAUAUUGUCAUCCAUCUCAUAAUCGUAUAACACAUAUUUGUAUAUAUAAGUUAUCGAGAUAUUAUAUAUUCCAGAUGCAAUGUACGGACACUGACCUAUCUUAUAUAAUACACUAGGUGAGUGCCCGUGCGUCACAGGCCCGAGUUUCUCUUCGAUGUCAUCUCGGACAGCUCGUAUAUGUCAUCCUUUAUCUCAUAAUUAUAUAACACAUAUGUGUAUAUAUAAGUUAUCGAGAUAUUAUAUGUCCUGUUGCAAGGCACGGGUACUGACCUAGUUAUUAUUUAUAAACCUAGUCACUUUUCAUACGUAGAGGCGGAACCAUGAUAAGAAAAAAAACAGAGUAGAGGACACGUAACCAUUUGUAGUUCUAUUCUAUCUCAGAAUCCUCGAUCAUUCAUCGCCAUCAGUCUCCUGCUCUGAUCCUCUCUUCUUCUUCCUCCCCAAGUUGGUUGCUCUGUUCCAGUUUCAUUCUUCCUUCCCAAGCUGGUUGCUCUGUUCACAGUGCUAUAAGUAGAUGGGCACCUGCAUCGCACACGUCCACUCCAACUCCAACUCUCCUCAAGCCCGCAGUACGUGGCCAAGCAGACAGCAAAGCCAAACCUUCCGCGCAACGCCAAGAGCAACCACCACUUAGCGAUGGAGAGCAGCAGCGCCAGCAACGAGGAGGUGACGGCUGUCCCGGCCUCGUGGAACUUCGAGCCGAACGAGACCCUGCUGGGCCUGAUGGCGCUCUCGGUGCGCGGCGUGCUGGCCAGGAUCAAGGCCGAGAUGGUUGCCGGCGGCGGCGGCGGGAGGCCGGUGAUCCCGAUGGGCCACGGCGACCCGUCGGCGUUCCCGUGCUUCCGGACGGCGCCGGAAGCCGUGGACGCCGUCGCCGGCGCUCUCCAGUCCGGCGAGUACAACUCCUACUCCACUUGCGUCGGCCUUGAGCCCGCACGGAGGUGACUUGUUAUUUCUAGACUGCAUGAUGCUGAACUAACAUGAUGCGUAAACUGGUGUCGGCAUUUUUUUUUGAAAGGGAGAGGCAAAAGACUUGCCACUCCAAUAUAUUAGAAGGAGUAGAACUAACAGGAAAUUACAAGAAACCAAGACGACUUACAAGACUAGAAGCGAACUCCUGAACAAAUUUACUAAGCGGACCUACUAGCCAGCCGGGCCAUGGAAACAACUAACUAACUCUUUGACCACUAGCGCGACCUGCUCCGCUGAUCUAAGCUGACUGUGAAAGAUUCUAUUGUUCCUCUCUAACCAAAUGCUCCAUAAAAAAUAAAUGAUAAGGCCAUCAAAGGAUCUUCUCGAAGGCUUGUUGCACCUACUUCUCAAAUUUCUCCACCAGUCGUACAACGAAUCAAAGCCAUAGAUCCCCUUAAAGGACAAAAGAUUCGACCAAGACAAGAUUCUGUCCCACACCUCCCUGCUGAAGGGGCAGUCCUUGUAGAGAUGAACCGUCGUUUCAAAGGUCGAAUUACAGAGACAACAAGAAGGAUUGUGAGGCCAUCCCCUUUUCUGAAGGUUCUCUGCUGUCAACACUCUGUUAUGUAAAAGAGUCCAAGCGAAGAAGCGACACUUGGGUUCAGUUUUUGCUUUCCAAAUGGAACAGAUUUUCAUUAUGCAGAAGUUUGUUGAGAACUGAAUGUUAUAUGCGCUGCUUGCACUGUACUGACCAUCAGUCGUCCAUCUCCAAGAGAUGGAAUCCUCCAAGUUAUUAAGUUCUUGCAUGCUACUGAUAGCCUGCCAUAGGGUUACAAAAUCUUUUAUUUCGUCUUCUCGUAUGCAUGGCAGACAUAGCUGAAUCCAGCUAUUGGCUCUAAGAGCAUGAAAAACUGAGAUAUUCUUCUUCCUUGCUUUCUUGAAUAGAAUUGGUGCUAUAUUCUUAGGCGCCUGACCAUGGAUCCAACUAGAUUUCCAAAAACUUGUUGUUCUCCCAUUACCAACGUUGACCACUGUGGAUGCAUUGAAAAGUUCUUCAUCUAUUUUGUCGCAUGGCGAUUGCAAACCAAUCCACGCCUUAUCCCUGUUCUUCCAACGCAUCCACAGCCAUCUGAUUCUUAAAGCCCUUGCGAAGCGUUCUAGGUUCAGAAUGCCCAGUCCCCCCUUGUUCUUUGGCUGACAUGUUGUAGACCAGUUGAUCAAACAGUGACCUCCACUGCAAGCUUCAGGGUUGUUUCCUUUCCAAAGAAAGCCUCUUCUUAUCUUAUCAAUUUUCUUUAGCAGCCAUUUUUGAACUGGAAAAACCGUAAGAUGAUAAAUCGGUUGGGCUGUUAAUAAUGAUUUAACCAAUGUUUCUCUGCCUGCUUUAGAGAGUAGUCUGCCUUUCCAACCGGCCAGUCUGUUGUUGAUUUUUUCCAGUAGCGGUUGCAAGGAGAUCUUUUUAAUCUUCCUAAAGUGGAGGGGAAGACCAAUAUACUUUCCAGGUAAGUUAGCAUAUUUACCCGGGAACACUUCGGCAAGAUUUGACCAAAGCGACUGAGGAUAACGAACUGGAAAGAUUUCUGUUUUAUCAAAAUUUAUCUUUAGCUCUGAACAACCUUCAAAGACUUCCAGAAUCGUUUUGAGAACUUUGAGGUCCGACUUGUCUGCUCUUACAAACACCCCAGCAUCAUCUGCAUAUAGGGAACAACGAAGCUUUGCCCCUUUAGGCAGGACGCUUCCCAAUAGCCCAGCCUGAGCCGCCUUAUCGAUCAUACGCUGGAGAGGGUCCAUUGCUAAAAUGAAAAGAAAUGGAGAAAGGGGGUCCCCUUGUCGUACACCACGCCUGUGUUUAAUUCUAUUUGUCGGCUCUCCAUUUAUUAUUAUUUUGGAGGAAGAUGAGCCCAGAAUUAGAGCGAUCCAGUCUCGCCUCCUUUGGGAGAAACCAAGGGCCUUUAACACAUCAAGGAGAUAAGCCCAAUUUAUGGAGUCGAAGGCUUUGGAGAUGUCAAGCUUGAUGAAAAGCGCAGGCUGACCCCUCUUGUGCAUCUUCAUAAUCACCCUUUGAACGUAUAAGAAGUUAUCAUGAAUUGAUCGCUUUUGGAUGAAGGCAUUUUGGGCAACAGAUACAAUUUCAUUCAUGCGCGGUGCCAGUCUGUUUGCCAAAAUUUUGGUGACGAUCUUUAUAAAGCUGUUUAUUAGACUAAUAGGUCUAAACUUAUCGAUGCUACCCGAGACCUCUUUUUUGGGAGUAGAACAACACUUGCUUCAUUAACUAGGUGGAGGUUUUUACAUCUAAAAUUGUAGAAAUCGUUAAUUGCAGUAGUGAGGUCUUCUUUAACCAAGGUCCAGCAACAUUUAUAGAAAAGGCCAAUGAAACCAUCCGGGCCAGGAGCUUUUUCUGAAUGUAAACUCAUGACCACAUUCUUGAUCUCCGACUCUUGCAUCACGAUGUCGAGCCCACCUAACGAAAAGGGGGAAUAAUCUAGAGCGGCCCACUGAACUACCUUAUGUCUCAUUCCAGUCUCUCCAAGAAUCUCCUUGAAAUGCUGAUGAGCCUCUUGCAUUUUGUCUUGUUGGCUAGACAAUAAAGUACCAUUCCGAAGGAGAGAUCUGAUAUAGUUCUUCUUUCUCCUAUUGUUGGCUACCAGGUGAAAGAAUUUCGUGUUUGCGUCUCCCAUACGCAUCCAUAACUGUCUGGAGUGUUGUCUCGCAGUUGCUUUUUGAAUGGAAGCAAGACCAAGAAUUUUGAUUUUCAGUCUUCUCCUGAACUCCAAUUCAUCGUUGGAGAGCUGUCUAUUUUCUUGCGCCUUCUCUAGGUGAGUAAGAGUGAUCUGGAUAAUUGCCAGGCGGAUCUUGAUGCUCCCUACUGUUUUGCGUCUCCACAUACUAAGGGCCUUAGCUGUGCGUGACAUCUUGACAUGCAGCCUCAGAAUGGCAUCUUCAGAGUUAACAUCAGUAGACCAAGCUCGAUUAACCACCUCCUUGAAAUCGUCCAACUUUGUCCAGAACGAUUCAAAUCUGAAGCCUUUGAAGAAACGAAAUUGUGAACGACCUUGCAUAAUAAUUGGGCAGUGGUCUGAAGUCAUAGUGCAAAGGGACGGCAGAUCUGCCGAUGGGAAGAGCCCAUGCCAUUGAGUUGUCCCAAAGAAUCUAUCUAUCCUGGUCAUUGUAGGGUCCACUUGUUCAUUUGACCAAGUAAAGGCUCUAUCAUUGAGCUCAAGCUCUAACAGAUGCAAAUCAUCAAUUGUAUUGUUGAACUGACUCAUAAUUCUUCUAUUGAUUGAUCCUUUAUUUUUUUCUCUUGCUCUCCUUAUCAUGUUGAAGUCUCCCAGGAUCGCCCAUUCCGGACGCAUCACAUUUUGGAUGUUUCGGAGCUCUGACAGAAAGCUCAUUUUUUCAGUUUCUGGCUGGGGGCCGUAAACCCCCGUGAGGUCCCAGACCUCAUCCUCCACUCUCGAGCUAAUCCUAACCGAGAUCGAGUAGGUUGAAGCGCAUGGAAUGAGGUCCAUCUCGAACAAAUCUGCGUCAGAGGCCAAAAGAAUUCCACCAGAGGCACCCUGCGAAGGGAGCUGAACUGUCUGGCAAGCCAGCUUGCAUCCCACGGUUUCUUUCAGUAAGUCAUUGGUCCAGUUCAUGAUUUUUGUCUCUUGGAGACAAACUAUGGUUGCACCUGAGGACAGAAUUGUUUGUUUCACACUUGCACGUUUGGCCGGAUCAUUUAAACCCCUCACAUUCCAAGAGAAAAUAGUGCAGUUGGAACACAUUUAACUGGAAUUACCACUUCCACUUGAUAGACUAGAAGUACCAGGGACAGAACCGCAGACAGACACGGACUGCAACCAAACACCUAACAACUCCCAACACAGACAACACAGAUUACAGACAUAUAGCACUCCCCACACAAGCAGAUUGGAGGACAGCCGACACAAAAGCACAGGACGCCCAGGCCAAAACAGCCAUGACCACGCCACUUCAAUUGGAACAGCUACAGAUAGAACUAAAACACCCCACUGAGGGAACCAGGAACACCAGAUCGCAUGCAUCAUAAGAAGAAAACUGCCACCGCGAAGAGAUCUCAGGCAUCCCCCACAACCCUGAUGGUUGGGGAAGCAAUGGGAGCCACCUUGUGUCCCCUCCUGUUAUGCCCUGUCUUCUCUAUCCCUUGAUUGACCAAUUCCAUGAUUGCCUCCAUCUGCUCUUUGGUUAGUGGCCUUGAGAAAAGGCGAGCAAUCUGUUCAAAAGAAUUAUCUUGGUUAGAGGAACAUGAAGCAGUAGAGAUUUGGUUUUGUUUUUGAUUUGUUGCAGUAUUAUUGAGCUUAGCUAUCAGGAUGUCCUGGGCUUUGGAUAUUGCAUCCCUGGAACGCCCCAUCAUAAUCUUUUUCUUGGCAGCUAGUCUAAUACUGGAUCUCUUUGUGAAGGUAGGAGUCUGAUUAUACAAUACAGAAGGAGAUUCAGUGGAUUGUCCCAUUAAUGCACUAAAACUGUCUGGGGUAUCAAUAGGAGGUGGAUGGAUUAGCGGUUGUUCUUUUGGUAAAGCAAUAUGUGCAACAAAUUCUUGUAGCUGUGCAUCAGAGCAGUCCCCCUGCUUGUGCGCGGAUGGCUGACCGACUAGGAGUGGUUCAUUGAUAUGAACUGCGUAAGAAGUGAGACCAUCCUGAUUAUGUUGAUUACAGCGUUGUUCUGUGGUUAAAUCGCAGCCAUCCAGGAUAGGAUCUACACUUGCUACCCCAUGAGUUGGCCUUUGUGAUUGGGUUGACCUUAGUGCUUCUUGAAUCAAUGGGUCAUUGGACAACAUACUAAAAUUCUGGCCUGGGUUGUAAUUAGAUUCAGUUCCCCUUUCUACACUGGCAGGACGAUGAACAUCAACAGAAAGUGGGGCAGCCAGAGGAGGUACCUUGGGAGAUGCAGAUGCCUGGGACAGGAGCGAAUCAAUGUUGUUAUCGCGGCCGUGAAUGGUAUUGGUAUGACUAACAAUUUUUUUUUGUUGGGCUGGUGCUGUGGAUAAGGAUGCGUUCUGAAUGGGGGCCGAAUUCGCAUACCACUAUCUACUACCCCUACAUUUAAUUCAAAUCUUAAUAUGGAUAUGAAUAUUAUAGUACGAUAAUACCAAAAAUGGAUAUCUCAAGCUCAGAUUCUCAUUUGGAUAUGUAGUUAAUUUUCAAAAUCAAUAAAACUAUAGAUAAAUAUUUAUCAAUAAACAAAUUAAACAUAGAAAAAUAAUGUCAUCAAAAUAAGAAUAAUUGACGUAGUUAAAUCGAAUUUGGAUAGAGAGAGGGGAAAAAUCAUAAAAAACGAAUUGGGAUACACCUGUGUAGUAUGCAUAUUAGAAUCAGAUAUGAAUAUAGUUAUCCAUAUUGACGUUGAAAUGGAUUACUAACUAAUACCAGAUUUUUCAAGCAUCUGGAUUAUGGCAGCACUGGAAAGGCCCUUUGAAUUCCCCGUCUUAUUUCUGAUGUCGACAUGAGUUUAAUAGCCAGUUCAAGUUAACACAGUGUUCUGUUUGGGAAUCACUGAACCUUACAUAUAUAGUUACGUCUUCCAAAGUUGUCUUGGUCAGCUUGCUCUGAAAGCAACUAAUAUCAAACGAGGGGAAAUAUUGCUUUCCACCUUGAUCAUGUUCCAGCUAUAAAAUUCACUUUCUUGGAUUGUGAUCAGUCAUGUCAUCAUGUUUUCCUGAUAUAAGAAACAGUAACUGAAUCCUGCACCUGUGCUAUGUGUUCAGCUUCCUGACACCUAGGAGUUACAAUGAAUUUAUUUCCUGACAGGCAUUUAAGCCUGUUUGGAAGCAUCCAGUUUAUAAGAAACUGGUUUAUAGAAACUAGAGUGGUUUCAAAUGCACCAGUUUAUGUUCUAUUUUAUAGAAACUAGAUUUUCAGUUUUUCAAUAACCAAGAAACUGACCUUCCUAGCUAAAACCAUUUUUUCCAUUUAAUUAUAUCAUAUUCUUGCUGAUUCCAUUUUUCUAUUAUACUACCUCCGUUUACGAAUAUUUGUUCGUCUGUUAAUUUAUUUUAAACUAAACCGUGACAAAUAAAAAAGAAGUACAUCUUUGUUCUUCACAACUCUAGACUCUCAGUUAUCUUACGGCGGUCCAAAACCCGCAAACUGCAGGUCCGUCGCGCGGUACUUAUCCCGUGACUUGCCAUACGAGCUGUCGCCCGACGACGUCUACCUGACGAACGGCGGCGCUCAGGCGAUCGAGAUAGUGUGCUCCGCGCUGGCUCGUCCGGGCGCCAACAUCUUGCUCCCUAGGCCCGGCUACAAGCUCUACGAGGCGCGCGCCGUGUUCAGCGGGAUGGAGGCCCGGUACUUCGACCUUGUACCCGGCGAAGGCUGGGAGGUCGACACCGACAGUGUCCGAGCUCUCGCCGACAAGAACACGGUUGCCGUCGUCAUCAUCAACCCCGGGAACCCGUGCGGUAACGUCUACUCCUACGAGCACCUGGCCAAGGCAAGCGCGCGCUACUUCUGGCUGGCUCUGGGGUUGGUUUAUGGCUUAGUUGACUGACUGCUUUGGGGGUGUAGUCUGUAAGUCUGAAUGCCUGCUUGUGCUGUGUUUCUUAGGUUGCUGAGACUGCGCGGAAGCUCGGCGUGUUUGUCGUAGCGGACGAGGCUUACGCGCACUUGACGUUUGGAGAGAGGAGGUUCGUGCCGAUGGGCGUGUUUGGGGCCGUGGCUCCGGUCAUCACGCUGGGGUCCAUUUCGAAGAGGUGGCUGGUGCCCGGCUGGCGGCUCGGGUGGAUCGCUACCAGUGACCCUAGUGGCGUGUUUCAGAGAACCAAGGUUCUUGAUUUACUUCUUCUUCUUCUUCAUUCAAAAUGCAGUCAUGAGAUGAUGUUUCUUGUUUUUCAGGUAGCCAGCAGCAUCAAGACCUACCAUUACAUCUGCUCUGACCCUACGACGUUUGUUCAGGUGACUACUAUACAACCGUGUGUGCAGUGCACGCACACUCUUUCCAUGUCUGUCUAGCUAAACGAGAUCUGUUUCUGUUCGUUCGUUAGGGAGCGGUUCCAAACCUCCUGGAGAACACAAGCGAGGAGUUCUUCCGAAGAAACAUCAGAACUCUAAAAGAAAGCGCGGACAUGUGCUGGGAGAAGCUGAAGGGCGUCAACGGGAUCGCAUGCCCAAGCAGACCGAUGGGGUCCAUGUUCGUAAUGGUACACACUCUUCCAUUCCAUGUCGCUGCCAUGCUCAUGCAUGAACAGCGAGCGAUCCGCUAACAUACAGGCUGGUGUACGUGGGUGUUCCGUUGGCUUGCACUUGCUGCAGGUGAAACUGGACCUGUCCUGCCUGCAGGGGAUCGAAGACGACAUGGACUUCUGCUGCCGGCUGGCCAAGGAAGAAUCAGUGGUUGUUCUGCCAGGUGCUCUGCUGCUAGCUGUUCUCCUGAAUACGUAGACUAGUUUUGUAUAUAGCUCCUGGAGGCAGAUCGGAUCGGUUCAUCUGUUCAGCUUCAGCACAAGUCGUUGUUGCAUCCACCUUGAUUGAGAUCACCUUCUUCUUCUUAUUUUUGAGAUGGAAUGUGUGACAUGGCGGAAACAAAUUGCGUGCAGGGCGUGUUGUGGGAUGCGAGGACUGGCUCCGGAUCACCUUCGCCAUCGAUCCGUCCUCUCUCGAAGACGGCCUGGACAGGCUCAGGUCCUUCUGCUCGCGACACAGCAAGCCGGCGGCACAGGGUUCUGCUGCCUCUGUAGUCUAGUAGUGUCUGUUAGAGGAUCUGAAGCGUGUCCAGGACUCCACGUCUUGGAAACAAUGAAGUUUGGGUCAAUAUGAGAACGUAAUAAUAAAGUUGAUUCAGACAAAUGUAAGGGCCCUUGUUUCGUGCAGAUCGCGUUCAAACAUAGAAUUGGAUCUUGAUUCUGUCUGGAUCUAUCAGAAUUUUCUGACUGUCUUACAAAAGUUGGUUUAUAAGACCGAUCAUCCAAAACACUGUUUUAUACGUUUUACUAGGUGAGUGCCCGUACGUUGCAACGGAGACACAUAAUAUAACGAUAACUUAUGUACAAAUGUGUAUUAUACUGUUAUGAAAUGAAGCACGACGUCCGCGAGUCGUUCGAGAUGGUGUCGAAGCGAAACUCGGGCUACAGUCGAGUGCACCGACCCCACGGCGGUGAGGCCACCCGUCUGCAAGGCGCGUGAGGUUGAGGGCGAGGGGGUAGUUUCAAGGAGGGAAUAAUCUCCAUAGGACGACAAUGGAGUGGCGGCGCAUGGUCACAAGGACCUUGGUGACGGCGGCGUGCAGUCGAUAAGGUACGCGUGGGUGCCAACGAAGGGAUUGCACAGCGACCGACAAAGACGGAGCUCCGCGAUGUGGCGGGGGAGGGAGGGAGAGGCAGAGGUGCACAAAUUAUUCGAUAAAAUGUUAGUGCAUUACAUGAAUACAAGCAACACAUAAAAAUAAAUCGUACAAUAAUUUGCAUAGCAUGCUACUAAUUCUCAGCUUGAGGCAUAGUUGGAAUAAGAAAAAUGCUACAAUAUAUACUUUUAGAAGUACGAACCAAAACAUGUAAUGGGAAGAACUCAUACAUGCCAAGUGUUCUGUUGUGCUACUGAGCAGCAGCAUCGUUGCCACACUAUGAAAUAAUAUCAAGUACCAAACACGAUCGUGCACAUCAAAUAUGAAAUGCAUGAUAAGCUUUAACUAACUUCAGUUUGAUUCCACUCGAAACAAAUGAGGUAACAAUUCUGAAAAAUUCUGAUAUGCUACAUCUAGAUUAUCUCAGUCCCAUGCUCGUACUAACCCGUGGUGAGGAGAACAAAUGCGUGUUCGGAGAGCGCAUGCUUGUGCUUAUUCCUAGAGCUAUGGACAUCGCACCAUCUGUAGUGCAUACUAAAACAGAAUCUUUGCUAGUUCCUGCAUCAGGAAAGCACAUCAUGAUAUAUAUACCCAAUCAGUAACCUUUAGAAAUAGAGAGGACGCCUAGACUGUCAACACAUUUACCUGCUUGCCGGAUGGAACAGUGCACUGCACUCUAGAACCUUCUUUUUUAGCAUCUCAAAGUCUCCUUUCCCAUCCUAUUUAUAGAGCCAUAAAGCAAUGUUACCACAUACACAAAUUCGAAUCCAAUUCUUCGCAAUCAAGAAAUCAAACUCCAAACUUGAAAGUGACGUACCUCGAUCAAGGCACCAAUCUCACUAUCAAAACUCUGGUACCGCUUUGCGGAAAAGAUCAUCUAGGGAACCAUCCCAACAUCACAGAACAACACUUCCAGUUUAAAAACCUUUGCAUGGGAAAAGUUUAGUGGGUCUUAAUGUUUUUUCAGUUACCUCAAUCAGCUUGACAACGUUGUGGAGGCCACAGGCCAGAGUGUCCAUUCCAAAGAUAUGAGCAAGAAACAUGUCCUCAACAUUAGUACUUUCCCUUCGCCUGUUACCACAAUAGAAUCCUAUGUUGGUUCAAUUCCAUUUUUUGCACAACAGGAAACAUUUGACAAUAGUACUCACAAUUGCAAAAAACUUCUCUAGCGGUGCAGGCGUGUCCUUGAGCUCCAUCCCUUGGUAAUGGAUGCCCUUCGAAAUGUAUGAAGCAAACAUAGUCCAUUGAAUUUAUGGUCCUUUUAAUACCAGUAAUUCAUGACUGAUAACAUAAUACAUGAGUUGUUGGCUCAAACAAACAUGUAAAAGAAAACGAUCGGUACUUAACCUGUGAAUUCUGGUAGCCAUCAAUUUCAUUUCAAUAUCUUCUUGCAUCUGAUCUGUUCUGGUCAAAACUCGAUUUCUCAUAGAAAUGCGCUCUACAAUUGUAUUAACCAUGCCCAGUUUAUCAAAAUAUAUACCAUCGUCAAUGCAAAAAACUUUCUUCCCUAAUUUAUUUCUUAGAUGUAGACACUGUUAAAACACAAUAAAAAACUUUCUUCCCUAAUUUAUUUCUCAGAUGUAGACAUGAUUAAAACACAAUAAAAAACUUUGUUCCCUAAUUUAUUUCUCAUAUAUAGACACAAUUAAAACACAAUAAGGAGUUACAUCAGAAAUAUGAAGUUUAGGAGAGUUUGUUUGCUGGCUCCUUUUUAUCUUCUUGAACAUACUGCUAAAUGUGGGUGACAGCUUAUCAUAAUCAUAAGUUCUAGGGUUACACUCAACAAACUCAUGUCAGUCACAGGUGAGUUGGCUGUACAGUCAUCUAGUGGAGCAAUCUUGCUUACCGUAUCAAAAGUACGACCAACAUAUCUAACAUGAACAUCUGGAUCCAGCAUAGAGAGAAGUAUAGAAAUUCUGACAAGUGUAAAUUACGGGCCUCUUCUCUAGGUUUUUUGCAGCACAAAAAUUGCAGGUGUAAGUUCAUGGCAUGUAACAACUAUAUUACAUGGCUACUGAUAGAAUUUAGAGAAAGCACACAUUGAUUCAGUGUCGACUUUUUUGGUGUGGUGUUCGGUUUUUCACUGAAGUUUGGAUUGCUUUCCCCAAAUCAAAUAAACUAAAGAAUAAAUGAAGCAAGUAGAAGAAAUCCCAAAUCAAGCAGAGUAAAGAAGGAAGCAAAUUGAUGCCGUUACCGCACGCAGCACACCUCGCAUGGCUGCUGCCUCCCUGGCUCUUUGCAUGCCCGCACUGCUGCUGCCUGUACCUCGCCUCUCGCCCACGCUGCUCGUCCACAUGGCCGGCACUUCUGCCCCUUGCUGCUCACCUGACACCCGCCAUGCGCGGCCCCGCUUACAGACCUAGUAUGUCGUCGCAUGGAGAAACGAAACAAAUGGAGAAGUCACAGGCUGAGGGAAUUCUGUAUUUCUGUGAGUCUCACGUGAUGCUAGCUAGCUAUAAACAUACUUUAUGAGCUCCCAAAGCCUAGUAUCAGCUUCAACCUUAAGGGAAUCCUUAUUCAUGAACAGCGACGCGACGUUCUUCAAUAUCAAGCUGAAUGUGCACACCUACAGAGUGAUUACAUCAAACACCUGGAGCACCAAAAAUAAACCAGCCGAUAGCUAUGCAAGUGAAAGUAAAAAAAACCCCACAACCUCAAUGCCAGUCCCCAACAAAAAAGGGUUGCAUCCCAGCCAGGAAUCCUUACUGACUAUUAUUUAACAAAAGAAAGGAACAUUACUAUACUUUUCAAAUUUUGGUACUAUGCAUUCAUUAUAUUGGUCAGCUAAAAAUUACAUUGUCCCCAAGAAAACACCAGACAUGAUAUGCAAUUUACGUGAAUUGAUGCCUAUACAGAAAUCAUGUUCAGUGGAAUUUGUGGAAACAUUUACUCUGUUCGUCCUGUUUGGUUAGAACUCAAAAGCAACUAAUGCUACUGCUAGUGCGCCAAAACAGUUUGAAGCUAUUCACACUCUUGAAACUUCAUAAAAAGGUUGCAACGUGCAAGUCAUCAGUCCAAUAAGACAAUAGCUUACCCUGUGUUGCAUGCUUCACUUAACAUACUUAUCGAGUCUGCUGUUAUGAUAAUAGCAUCAGCCCAUGCAAGAUGUCCCUUGUUAGGUUUAGGUUCUGCAGAAGUAAAAAUAGUUGCUAGUUCAACAAGUUGAGCAAAAAGCAUAAAUACUGAACAACUUAAUGCUAGUCUUCAUAUUGUACCUUCACCAUUCCAAAUAUAGACCUUGGGAUGUCAAGCAAAUUCAUUAAAUACAAUAUCGGUGACCUGCAAACAUAUAGUUAAACUAUCAAGCCUACCAACCUGUACUAUAGAACAAAUUGCCAAAUUCCAUACCUUCCAUGGUGUUCUUAGAAAGAAUGAGAUUCUGACACUCCCACAACUAUCUAGCACGUAAAAAUUUCUAUGUUCCCAUUUUCUAGCCAAGGCCCUUAAUUCAUACCAUGCAUUGACAGGUGGAAUUGGAAUACCUGGUUUCUGAUAGCAAUUGCUUUUGUGAAGUCCAAUUCAAGUGGGUUAAUCACCCAGAGUUAGAGGUGGUGAAAUCGUAUUCGAUUCAAAUGGCUUCCAGUUUUCCCCCUACAUGAUGUAUAAACAGAACAAAUUCGAAGGAGAUGAGAAAGAUCAUAGAUGAACCAAUCUACAAAAUCAUAUGAUAUUUGCAAUGACCAGUUUAAAAACUCUUAAUCCAGUAGAGCAUGAUUAAUUGAGUUGCAAGUAAAAGGUACACUAAAAUAUCAAAUAAACAGAACUAUUGCAGGUUGCUGUCAGGUGAGCCCAUGUAGAAAAUCUUCACUGCGGAGUGGUUAAGAGGGUGUGGAUCUUGUGCACUUAUAGUGAUGGUUCUGUCACCAACUCUGCCAUCGAAGAGAACUCCCCACCCAUGGAUGUCGUCCAUCAGGCUCUUGGUCAUCCAUAGGAUAGUGAGAUCCUAUAAGAAUUCUCCAAUCGUUCGAGUGAGAUUCAUGUUAUCCAAAGCUUGAAUUGGCAAGAAAAUCACAAAUGCAUGCAACUUACCCUGAAGACUGCCAAAACCAUCUUCUCUGUAAAUGUCAUCGAACAUUUUAGUCUGUCACAAAUAUAUCAAGAUGGAGACCCAUCAGAAAACUGGAAUAAAUGACAUGCGACAUGAAACCAACUUUGGUUGCCAACGCAAAUGCUAUAAAGAAUCAUAGAAGGUUUAUAAAGCAAUAAUAAUGCAACAACUAAUCACAUCCACCCAUGGACCACAAGAGAAUCAAGUGUUGGUAGGUUUGGCGUUAAUCUGCUCCCAAUAAUUUGCAAGCCCAACGGCCUGAUUUAUAGCAGCGGAUGAGAUCCAUUUUAGGGCCUCAUCGUUUUCAACCCAAUUCAUAUAAUCUAUAUAAAUUAAAGGAGAUUGAUAGGUUUAAAUCCGUUAAAAACCUUCAUAAUUUUUCUCAACCCCAUCUCCAAUUAUAAGGAUUAGGAAUAACACAACAGUGCCUAUUCAUCAUGAACAGUAUGUGCAUGUAUCCCUCAGUUCGCUAUCAAUUUUUCUGACAUCGAAUCUCCAGACACCGAAGGUCCCUGGAAAAAAUGGUCUAUCGUUUUACUAAGAAUAUGCAUUUGUUAUACCUGAUGAUCACAUCAAAGCGCUAGAAAAAUAUUGAGAGGGAUGGGGGCAGACAAGUACGAUGCAGUAUAUUCUACGGUGAAAAAAGUGCACGUGCCAGCCUCCGGCGACUUUGACGGGCGAUCAAUCAAAGCUUAGAAGGUGGCUUUCUUGAGCGAGGUGAUGGUCACCGAUGACCCCAGCGCGGAGGCACCGACCUGGAUGUCAAAGGAGUCGUAGCGGAGGAAGAGCUCGGCGACGAGGAGGCGAGCGAUGAGCACGACGAAGUCCUUGCCAGCGCACUGCUUGUCCUGCAGCGUGGGAGACACAAGUGGUGAGGGGCUGCCGGUGACCAUCACUAUACUGGGGCUGCCUUCUAUUUCGUGAGAAGAAAUAUGGUAGGUCAACGAUGAGCAAACCCACAACGAAAAUUAUAUGACCCACAACAGAAAUGUAGAGGAUGAAAUAUUUUAGAGAGACUAUAAAGGACGGGAAAUAUUCAUUUACGGGAUGAAAUUUAAAGGAUGUUGCUGAAGAUAGACUUAGACUGUCUUCAGUGCCCCCCUAUAUCCCACUUUUUACGCCACAUCAGCAGUCUCGCUCUCUCCUUAUAUCUUCGCCCUCCGUAGGACCAUCCCAAUAAAAUAUACAUUUCCUCUUAGCUACCACAACUACCACUCAUUUUAUUUUAUUUUUGUUUUCCAAAAGAAAAACCAUACAUGCAGUUGGGAUUAAAUUAUUAAGCUUAAAAGUAUUAAUAAACACGCAUUAGAUAAUCGAGUCUUAUUAGAAAUAGUACUAAUUCAUUCGUAUUCGAUAAUAUCAAACAAAUUAAUAUGGAUGAAGACAUAACCAUCAAAGUAUUAUAGACAUUAACUAAUCAAUAACAGAAACAAUUUCAAAGAAUAAUACAAAACACAUUGACCUUCAUUGUUCAAACUGUCGCUAAGCAUUUGUAGAACACAACAAUACAUUUUUAUAUUCGUUUGUAAUGGUUGUAUGUUCGUAAAUACUAACAAGAAAGUGAAAAAUGAAGACUUUACAGUUUUCCUUGCAUUAGAAAAAGAAACAUGAGUUCACCAUAUAAUCGUUGUGAAUUUCCAUAUUCACACGUUACUGAUAGAACCCAGGUACUCCAAUGGUUUUAUUGGUACUGAAUCCAUGGAUUGCGUCAAACUGAAAACAACAGGGAAGAACAAUACUAUGUUAAUCACUUCAUAUUGUAUAGGUGUUGCACUCAGGUUAUACAUCCAGUAAAGAGCGUGACAUUUGAAAGCUCAUGGGUCAGCUGUGUUGCUAUUGAUGCAAGCGAAGGUUAGCUGGUAACGCAAUCAGUAAUUAGAACUGAAUAAAAAAUGGAAAUGCAACCAAUUAAAAUUAAGUUUGGAAGGAGCACAAAAGUGUACAUGUUCUUAAUAUUUUAAUAGCAUACAUCUAACUCGCUUUCUCACAAACUGUUGCACUGUUCUAUCUAUAAUAGUUAGAUGCCCGUGCGUUGCAACGGCAUGCAAAAUAUUCGACAAAAUAUUAGUGCACAAUGAUUACAUAAAAACAAACACUAUAUAUAUUAUCGACCUCGAUAUCUAAAAAUUAUUUGGCAACAAACAAUACAUAACUAAACUAAUAUAAAUCAAAUUAUAUUACAAUGCAAAUAUAGUAUAACUGUACAUAACACAAGAUUGUAAACAUCACAACAUUGUCUCAUGUAAUGAUAAAAUGUACAACGAAAGCUUAAAAAGGUGAGCACAUAUAACACCUGACAUAAUAAUAUAAAGCUAAUGUUCGAACAGUCAACAAACCAGUAUGUUAAGACCAUAUAUUACAUAGCACAUGUAACACCUCAAAAUCUCAUUUUGAGAAUUAUGUAAAAUUUUCCCCUGAUGUUGAGUUAAAAUAUAUUUUUCAUAAGAAUUAUCUUACCUUUGAAACUAUACAUCCUAAAACCAUGUUUCCAGAAAAAAAAGAAAGGAGCUCAGUAAUAAUUUGUUCCUUUGAUAAAUCAUAUCUUCUAGACUUUACUCUUAAGGAUCUUUUUAAAAUUAGAACUAAAUUUCUUAAAAUACAUAUUUUGUGUGCACAUUUAAAAGCAUAAGCAUAAAUAAAUGAGAUAAGAAAUAAAUAACAUAAAAUUAUAUUUUGCAUGCGGAGGUGUUGUUAUAAUGAUGCAUAUGAAUGUGAAUCCUGAACCUAGAUUCGAAUUUGAAUUCAAAAUAAUUUCAUCAUGCUAGAAUUUUGGAUGAGCAUUUAAAACACAUAAUUGAAUUCAAGUUUGAAAACUAGAAAUGGGAAAUGGAAAUGAACAAAAAAAAAACAAAACAAUUCUACCUCACCUGGGCCGAAAUUGCCCCAUGCGGCCCAUCUCCCUUGCUCCGCGCAGCCCAACCAGCCGAGCCCAUGCUCACCGCCUGGCGGGUCCCGCCUGUCAGUCGGCCUCUGCGCCCACCAAACCCGCUGUCUCUGGCGCUGGAAUGUGGGUUCCACUUUGUCAGCUCAUUCUCCUCCCUCCCAACAAAUCCGCGACGACUCUACCGCUCUGCUCCGCGCCGCCGCCGUGAAAUCAGUCGGGCGAUUCCCCUUUGAUCUGAUGCCUGCGCCGGGAUCCUGGGCUGCAUUCGCCACCCCUAUGCGCUGGUGCCUCUACUCCCUGCACCUUGCUGUCGGCUUGCACAAUCCGCGAUUCGCGCGGCCGGCUCAACAGACUCCGCAAAACGCCCGCCGCCGCCGGGAUCGGUACAACAGGGAUUGGAUGAACGACCUCGGACAUCAGGGUAUAAAUGGGAGGCCACGCUACUCUUCCCAUCGGCCAUCUAGAUACACCAAAGAUUGAGUGAGAGUGUGUGGGGGUAGCUCAUGAGCGUUCGCCGGUGAAGGAAAAGGAAGCCGCCCGUGACCGAACUCGUGCGUCGCCGUCACCAAGACCUCUAGGUGAGGCCCAGGGGCGUCGCCAGGGCUUGUGGAUGUUGGUGUGGCGUUCACGGGCGCGGUAGACCGAUCGGAGCAUGGAAUUUCACAUCGGAGUUCAUCGCCAACGCCAGGAAUCCGCCGUGCGCCAUGGACUGGGGUCUCUGCUAUACCACUGUAGGUAAUUCAUCUCCUAUUGUGUUUGGUAUCCCGUCCUCAUCACUUAGCACUAACUAGACUCGAGGUUGCGGCCUUCGGCGUUGGAUUGCGCGGCUCCGGUGUGGCUCCGCCAGGUGGAGCUCGGGCGCCGUCGUGCCCAGUCUGUCGGAGGUAGGAGAUAGGGUUUUGGAUCGUCGAUUGACCAAUGAACGACCCAGAUUGGAUCGGUACCUAACGCUUCGGCCUGGGAGAUAAUCACUGUCCGUUUUGAUCGGACGGGCGAUACUGGAUUAGCCCUCAUAAAAUCUCCACCAUAGGUCUUCGAUCGGACGGAUCGCGCUAAAUACUGAUUCGAUUAAGUAACAGUCUAAUCGAUGCCGUCCGUGGGGAAUCCAACGGAUACCUUUGGUCCAUACCCCUUCGCCUCGACAUUUAUGCUAAAGAGACCCUACGUUUUUUAGAAAUAAACCCGCCAUCCCCGCGGGGAAGACCUGAGUCACAGGGAAUUUUAUGCGUUAGACCCCCGGGUUAUUUGUUUUAUGUGCGCAGUCCAGAGGUCAGAGAAAAAUAAUGAAGGAUUAUAGAAAUUGAUUUUUAGUAUAUAAAUAAUUCUAGAAACUUGUUUAAUCUAUAUAAAAUUCAUAUCGCGACCAAAUUAAUUCAUUCUAGUUCCUAUAAAUUACUAAUAAUGUUGUUUAUCACCUUGUAUCUCUGUUUUAAUAUGAAAAUGGUAUUAAAAUUUAUUUCUUAAUUAAUCUCGUAUCAAAUACAUAAAACCUAAGGAAAUUCGUAUCUCCUUCGUUUUAACUCCGAUUGGAUCCGUUCAAGUUGCGUUAGUCUCGUAACAACGCGUAGAUUAUUAUUACGCAAUUUAUUCUUAUGAUUGGUGUGAUGUUAAUCUUGCCUAUACCAUGUUUGUUUGUAUUGCUACGACUAGCGUGAGGACACGAGUCAUCUGAAGAUCAUCCUGGUACCUGGAAUCUCAAGUGCCAGGCAAGUUGUGCCCUUGAUCACUUCUUUUUACCCACUCAUGUUCUAAUUAAUCAUAAUGAUCUGCAUAGGUUAAUUUUGAUGGGACCUAAUAGGUUACCCUAGUUUUGACUAUCUUUAUACCUUGUUUACCACUGAACUUUUUGGGUAGUACUUGCUAGUGCUUUAUGUGGUUUUGGGUAUGAAGAUACAUUAAUUAUGAUUACACUUUUAUUAUCUGUUUAUUAUCACUGUUCAUGAUAAGAUCAUUAUGUUAAUUGGAACAUGGAGAACCACCCGGGAAAACAGUGCUACCACAAGGGUUUAAUGGGACGCCCUUGGCCGAUUAAUUAGGAAAGCUAGUGGAAGACUACCUUACCCGAAAGGGGCAAGGGCAGUAGGGGAGUGGUCAGUGUAGGGAGGCCCUCGGGAGGAUUUUGCUGUGAUGGCGGUCCUGCAAGGGAUUCCUGGGAAGGCCCUCGGGAGGAUUUUGCUGUGAUGGCGGUCCUGCAAGGGAUUCCUGGGGAGGCCCUCGGGAGGAUUUUGCUGUGAUGGCGGUCCUGCAAGGGAUUCCUGCAUUGGAGCUUCCUAUAAACUGUAGCGGGUUUUCUGAAGCUAGUGGAACUUUGUAAAGGCCUCGUAGUGUUACCCUGCCUCGCCUCCUCGGUAGAGGUGUAUGGGAAGUCGCGAUCCCUUGGCAGAUGGGUAACAUGACUUGUGGGUAAAGAUGCGCAACCUCUGCAGAGUGUAAAACUGGUAUACUAGCCGUGCUCACGGUCAUGAGCAGCUCGGACACUCACAUGAUUAAUUUAUGGAACUUAAAUUCAAUUUGUCAUAUGCAUUGCAUCGCAGGUGAUGUCGUUACUUCUGUUCUACUAUUUAAUUGGGUUGGUAUUUACUUAUACUUAGUAAUUGCUAAUAAAAUUUUGACCAACUUUAAAAGCAAUGCUCAGCUCUAGCCAUCCUCUUUGGUAAGCCUUACACUUCACAUGAGCUCCCACCUUUGGCGAGUUCAUACACAUUAUUCCCCACAACUUGUUGAGCGAUGAACGUAUGUGAGCUCACUCUUGCUGUCUCACACCCCCACAGGUCAAGAACAGGUACCGCAGGAUGAGGCGCUUGGGGAUGCUGCGAUGUGUUCGUGAGAGGUCUAGGCCGUCGUCUCCCAGUCAACUUUGGGUUGCUGGACCGUUGUCUCCUUGUAAUGUAACUAUUUAUUUGUAUAGAACUCCUAUUAUAUAUAAAGUUGUGACAUUCGAUCCUGUGCCACUAUACAUCAUAUGUGUGAGACUUGGUCCCAGCAUACCUGGUGUUUAUGUUAGCGCCCGGGUUUUGGACCCCUAAAAUCCGGGUGUUACAGAAGUGGUAUCAGAGGAAUGUUGACUGUAGGACGAAACCUAGAUAGAAAUGGACAACCAUUCUUUACUUACCCUUGCUACUCUGAUUCUUUUCUAAACUUUUCUUAAUCUUUUCUCAUCUAUUUCCGCUUUACUCUGAUUAUUCUUACCUUUUCAUUCUAAAGACAAAUGUGGAUUUCACACUUUGAAAAUCCUGUGCCUAAAGUGACUUUAGGAAUAGGAGACCUACUCUUAGGAACAAAAACAAAACUAUUUUUAUAGGUAUUUGUAUGCUUGAAUGUUUGUUCUUAUGAUACUUGUUUGAUUUGGAUCUUUGAUUGAGUGUGAUUAGUUGUGGAGUAAUGUCCACAAUCACAUCUGCAUAUACAUAUAGAAAAAAACGGUUAUAAAAAUAUCUAAAUGAACUAGGUUAUCCCUCAUCAAAGAAUCUAGCCUAGCAAAAUCCAUCUUAUCUUGAAAAAGUCUAUCCUACACUCAUAGAUCCAUCUUAUCCUAAAAAAAAUAGAUUCUCAUCUUAUCUUGAAAAGAUUUAUCUUAUCCUAAUAUAUCUAUCUGACCUCAAAAAGAUUCUAUCUUAUCCUUAUGGAUUUAUCUUACCCCAAUAAGCAUAUUUAUCCCACGCUAGUGUAACAACCAUGAUCUAGCCUAAAAUAAAUAAGAUCUUAUCUAGUCAAACUAGUCACACCAAUCUAACCUAGAUCUGAUCUAAUCUAAAGUGACUUAUCAAACAUGUUAGAUAAUACUGAUGAAAUAGAUUAGACUCUACUCCUAUAGAACAGGUCUUAACUUAGUUCACCCUGCACUAAAUUAAGAAUGACAGAUCGACUUGGCCAUAUGCAACUACCUUAACCAUCCAAUAGUUGCAUAACCACACAAUUUUAACCUAGCAAGAGAUUCUAACCUACCUACACCAUACAAUCCAUCCUACUCACAUAUGUCCUAGCCAUAUGUCCUUAACUCGGAUGACAACUCCAAGAAAUAAAGGCCAAAGAAGACCAACCAUGUCAAAGAAGGAUAAGCAUCAACUCAAGACUUCAAAGAUCAAGUUGAAUCGCUAGCGGAACCAGGAUGCACAGUUCUGGAUGAAGUCUGUCCUUAUUAUACCCUUGCCAUAACCGUGCCUCAUGUGACAUAAUAGAUGGAUAGACAUACAAUAUCCAUAUAUUCCAAAUCGUCUACUAACUCUUAUAAAAAAAAAGUUGAACAAAACAUUGAUUCCCAAAACCAAAUGAGAAACUAAAAUGCUAGACCAAACUUAUUGCAUCCCUUUUUCCUACAAAUCUCGAGGACGAGAUUCUUGUUAAGGGGGUAGAAUUUGUAACACCUCAAAAUCUCAUUUUGAGAAUUAUGUAAAAUUUUCCCCUGAUGUUGAGUUAAAAUAUAUUUUUCAUAAGAAUUAUCUUACCUUUGAAACUAUACAUCCUAAAACCAUGUUUCCAGAAAAAAAAGAAAGGAGCUCAGUAAUAAUUUGUUCCUUUGAUAAAUCAUAUCUUCUAGACUUUACUCUUAAGGAUCUUUUUAAAAUUAGAACUAAAUUUCUUAAAAUACAUAUUUUGUGUGCACAUUUAAAAGCAUAAGCAUAAAUAAAUGAGAUAAGAAAUAAAUAACAUAAAAUUAUAUUUUGCAUGCGGAGGUGUUGUUAUAAUGAUGCAUAUGAAUGUGAAUCCUGAACCUAGAUUCGAAUUUGAAUUCAAAAUAAUUUCAUCAUGCUAGAAUUUUGGAUGAGCAUUUAAAACACAUAAUUGAAUUCAAGUUUGAAAACUAGAAAUGGGAAAUGGAAAUGAACAAAAAAAAACAAAACAAUUCUACCUCACCUGGGCCGAAAUUGCCCCAUGCGGCCCAUCUCCCUUGCUCCGCGCAGCCCAACCAGCCGAGCCCAUGCUCACCGCCUGGCGGGUCCCGCCUGUCAGUCGGCCUCUGCGCCCACCAAACCCGCUGUCUCUGGCGCUGGAAUGUGGGUUCCACUUUGUCAGCUCAUUCUCCUCCCUCCCAACAAAUCCGCGACGACUCUACCGCUCUGCUCCGCGCCGCCGCCGUGAAAUCAGUCGGGCGAUUCCCCUUUGAUCUGAUGCCUGCGCCGGGAUCCUGGGCUGCAUUCGCCACCCCUAUGCGCUGGUGCCUCUACUCCCUGCACCUUGCUGUCGGCUUGCACAAUCCGCGAUUCGCGCGGCCGGCUCAACAGACUCCGCAAAACGCCCGCCGCCGCCGGGAUCGGUACAACAGGGAUUGGAUGAACGACCUCGGACAUCAGGGUAUAAAUGGGAGGCCACGCUACUCUUCCCAUCGGCCAUCUAGAUACACCAAAGAUUGAGUGAGAGUGUGUGGGGGUAGCUCAUGAGCGUUCGCCGGUGAAGGAAAAGGAAGCCGCCCGUGACCGAACUCGUGCGUCGCCGUCACCAAGACCUCUAGGUGAGGCCCAGGGGCGUCGCCAGGGCUUGUGGAUGUUGGUGUGGCGUUCACGGGCGCGGUAGACCGAUCGGAGCAUGGAAUUUCACAUCGGAGUUCAUCGCCAACGCCAGGAAUCCGCCGUGCGCCAUGGACUGGGGUCUCUGCUAUACCACUGUAGGUAAUUCAUCUCCUAUUGUGUUUGGUAUCCCGUCCUCAUCACUUAGCACUAACUAGACUCGAGGUUGCGGCCUUCGGCGUUGGAUUGCGCGGCUCCGGUGUGGCUCCGCCAGGUGGAGCUCGGGCGCCGUCGUGCCCAGUCUGUCGGAGGUAGGAGAUAGGGUUUUGGAUCGUCGAUUGACCAAUGAACGACCCAGAUUGGAUCGGUACCUAACGCUUCGGCCUGGGAGAUAAUCACUGUCCGUUUUGAUCGGACGGGCGAUACUGGAUUAGCCCUCAUAAAAUCUCCACCAUAGGUCUUCGAUCGGACGGAUCGCGCUAAAUACUGAUUCGAUUAAGUAACAGUCUAAUCGAUGCCGUCCGUGGGGAAUCCAACGGAUACCUUUGGUCCAUACCCCUUCGCCUCGACAUUUAUGCUAAAGAGACCCUACGUUUUUUUAGAAAUAAACCCGCCAUCCCCGCGGGGAAGACCUGAGUCACAGGGAAUUUUAUGCGUUAGACCCCCGGGUUAUUUGUUUUAUGUGCGCAGUCCAGAGGUCAGAGAAAAAUAAUGAAGGAUUAUAGAAAUUGAUUUUUAGUAUAUAAAUAAUUCUAGAAACUUGUUUAAUCUAUAUAAAAUUCAUAUCGCGACCAAAUUAAUUCAUUCUAGUUCCUAUAAAUUACUAAUAAUGUUGUUUAUCACCUUGUAUCUCUGUUUUAAUAUGAAAAUGGUAUUAAAAUUUAUUUCUUAAUUAAUCUCGUAUCAAAUACAUAAAACCUAAGGAAAUUCGUAUCUCCUUCGUUUUAACUCCGAUUGGAUCCGUUCAAGUUGCGUUAGUCUCGUAACAACGCGUAGAUUAUUAUUACGCAAUUUAUUCUUAUGAUUGGUGUGAUGUUAAUCUUGCCUAUACCAUGUUUGUUUGUAUUGCUACGACUAGCGUGAGGACACGAGUCAUCUGAAGAUCAUCCUGGUACCUGGAAUCUCAAGUGCCAGGCAAGUUGUGCCCUUGAUCACUUCUUUUUACCCACUCAUGUUCUAAUUAAUCAUAAUGAUCUGCAUAGGUUAAUUUUGAUGGGACCUAAUAGGUUACCCUAGUUUUGACUAUCUUUAUACCUUGUUUACCACUGAACUUUUUGGGUAGUACUUGCUAGUGCUUUAUGUGGUUUUGGGUAUGAAGAUACAUUAAUUAUGAUUACACUUUUAUUAUCUGUUUAUUAUCACUGUUCAUGAUAAGAUCAUUAUGUUAAUUGGAACAUGGAGAACCACCCGGGAAAACAGUGCUACCACAAGGGUUUAAUGGGACGCCCUUGGCCGAUUAAUUAGGAAAGCUAGUGGAAGACUACCUUACCCGAAAGGGGCAAGGGCAGUAGGGGAGUGGUCAGUGUAGGGAGGCCCUCGGGAGGAUUUUGCUGUGAUGGCGGUCCUGCAAGGGAUUCCUGGGAAGGCCCUCGGGAGGAUUUUGCUGUGAUGGCGGUCCUGCAAGGGAUUCCUGGGGAGGCCCUCGGGAGGAUUUUGCUGUGAUGGCGGUCCUGCAAGGGAUUCCUGCAUUGGAGCUUCCUAUAAACUGUAGCGGGUUUUCUGAAGCUAGUGGAACUUUGUAAAGGCCUCGUAGUGUUACCCUGCCUCGCCUCCUCGGUAGAGGUGUAUGGGAAGUCGCGAUCCCUUGGCAGAUGGGUAACAUGACUUGUGGGUAAAGAUGCGCAACCUCUGCAGAGUGUAAAACUGGUAUACUAGCCGUGCUCACGGUCAUGAGCAGCUCGGACACUCACAUGAUUAAUUUAUGGAACUUAAAUUCAAUUUGUCAUAUGCAUUGCAUCGCAGGUGAUGUCGUUACUUCUGUUCUACUAUUUAAUUGGGUUGGUAUUUACUUAUACUUAGUAAUUGCUAAUAAAAUUUUGACCAACUUUAAAAGCAAUGCUCAGCUCUAGCCAUCCUCUUUGGUAAGCCUUACACUUCACAUGAGCUCCCACCUUUGGCGAGUUCAUACACAUUAUUCCCCACAACUUGUUGAGCGAUGAACGUAUGUGAGCUCACUCUUGCUGUCUCACACCCCCACAGGUCAAGAACAGGUACCGCAGGAUGAGGCGCUUGGGGAUGCUGCGAUGUGUUCGUGAGAGGUCUAGGCCGUCGUCUCCCAGUCAACUUUGGGUUGCUGGACCGUUGUCUCCUUGUAAUGUAACUAUUUAUUUGUAUAGAACUCCUAUUAUAUAUAAAGUUGUGACAUUCGAUCCUGUGCCACUAUACAUCAUAUGUGUGAGACUUGGUCCCAGCAUACCUGGUGUUUAUGUUAGCGCCCGGGUUUUGGACCCCUAAAAUCC
This 49587-nucleotide long non-coding RNA is filed under the name Zea mays. RNAcentral describes it as "long non-coding RNA (ZMAY_LNC001336)". The record is from RNAcentral. Lineage: Eukaryota; Viridiplantae; Streptophyta; Magnoliopsida; Poales; Poaceae.